AGAAUCCCCAACAUAUUGAUCGCAAGCAUAUAGCUUCAAUACUUUUGGUGAGUAAUCUUUAAUACUCCGUAAGAAUAUUACUUACCUUUAUAAUCUUGAUCGUUGUUGAUUCUCCCAUAUUUGUUGUAAACGGGUGUUUGGUCAACUUAUAUGUUCUUGAACAAUUCCCCCUCCAUGAUCUACCUUUUGAGGUCGAGUUAGACUUCAAAAGGUACAUUCUUUUUUUUAAUCAUGACAUUAAAGUUAGACUCAUCUUGAUUUUUCAUUUUUUUAUGGAACCUCAUUCUUUAUUAUCACUAAUCCUCAUUGCCUUUUUCUUUUGGAAGGUAAGGCGGACAAUUCGAUGAGUUUAGCCUUUUAAGGUUUGAAGCAUUAAUUGAACAUAUUGCACUUUUGAAAUUAUGAAUUCAAAAUAUAAAAGUAUUUCCAUGGAUUCUUUGUUUUAUCUUCUGUAGUGGUCCUUGCCUUAAAAAAAAAAAAAGCAAAGCAAAGCUAAUUUCUCGUACUUGCGCGGCCCAUAAAAUUUAGUAUGUAUUUUUUCACGUACAAAUUUGGUGUGCUGGAAUAUUUGAUCCAGUUGAACAGAUAAUAUUUAAAAUAUCUUGUGUUGUAGAAUUAUUCCUAAGUGGUUUCCAUGAGUAAUUUUCACCUCAAAGUUGCCAGUGAAUCUCAGGAACUAUUCGUAGCCGAGACUGAUGCAAGUUCGAUCACAGUAGAAUGGGCUAUGGCUGAGAUUCUUAAAGCUCCAGAGAUUAUAAUGAGAGUCCAAGCCGAGCUCGGAGAAGUCAUUGGAGAAGGCAACCCACUGGAGGAAGCUGACAUUGCCCGACUCCCUUACUUAUAGUGAAUUAUUAAAGAAACUUUCAGGGUGCACCUUGCAGGUCCUUUUUUGGUUCCUCGAGAAGCAGGGGAAGAUGUUGAGGUAUGCGGCUACACUGUCCCUAAAGGUUCAAAAUUGAUGGUUAAUGUGUGGGCAAUUGGUCGGGACUCAACCCUUUGGGAAGACCCUUUGGUGUUUAAUCCUGAUAGGUUUAUGGAUUCAAAAAUGGACGUGCGAGGUCAAGAUUUUGAGUUAAUUCCAUUUGGUGCUGGUCGAAGGAUUUGCCCUGGUCUGCCCUUGGCAGUAAGGAUGGUUCCAGUUAUGCUUGGCACACUGUUGAAUACAUUUAAAUGGAAAAUUGAGGGUGACGUUGCUCCAAAAGACUUGGACAUGCAGGAUAAAUUUGGCCUCACCUUGGCCAGACUUCGUCCUCUCCGAGCUGUCCCACUUCCCCUCUGAAAUCCAAAUUUAGAGGGCUUCCUAGAAAUGGCAGUAUGAUGAACAUUGCAGCUAAUAUUUCAUUUCCAUGAAAAUGAAAAAGAAAUAAAGAAUUUAGUUUAGUGAAGGAAAGUUUCUUCAAAAAAGAGAUCAGGAAGUAUUAUUUUACUUGAAGUUCAGAAAAUGCAAGGCAACGUGGAAAAGUUAAGUGAUCCACAACAUUUGAGAUGUAAAUUUUAUCCUUUCAUAAUCACCUUUGUUUGAUUUUAGUUGAAAAGAUUUCGUCUCGUGGUGCCUUGAUCCAUUAUUUUGGAUCAUAUAAUUAAUGUUAAAAUUGGUCUUGGACCAAACUCACACCCCAAAAGUUAGCUCAAGAGGGGGAGGAUUGCCCAAGCCUUAUAAGGAGACCACCCAUCUCAUUAACCACCAAUGUGGGACUUUUUCUUUCUUCUAACAUCCCCCUUACGCCCAGACCUUAAUUGGGUGUGGAAAAUCUCUCCCGAAUCUCAAUCCAGAGGUCUAGGCGUGGAAAAUCUCUCCCGAAUCUCAAUCCGGAAGCCCAACAUUGGGUGAGAUGGGUCUGGAUACCAUGUUAAAAUUGGUCUGGGGCCUAACUCACACCUCAAAAGCUAGCUCAAGAGGUGAGGAUUGUCCAACUUCAUAUAAGCAAACCACUAGUCCAUUCCCCAACCAAUGUGAGACUUUUACCCACUCUAACACCCCUUCUCACGCCCAGGCCCAACUGGCAGUGGCGCAUGAACCGGGAGCCCAAAACGGGGAUAGACAUAGCUCUAAUACCAUGUCAAGAAUGGACCUUGGGCCUUACUCAACCUCAAAAGCUAGCUCAAGAGGUGAGGAUUACCCAACUUCAUUUAAGCAAACCACUAGUUCAUUCCCCAACCAAUGUGAGACUUUUACCCACUCUAACACAAUUUUAACAAUUAAAGUAAUGCCUUCAGAAAUAUAUGAAACUUUAAGCGUACAUGAUAUCUAACAUCCUGUAUACGGCGUUUUUGGAAUGCCAACUCAUAUUCGAAUUUGAUUUACAUGUUUCCAAGCCAAGUGCUUACUUCUGUUGGCAACUCGAAAUGUUACCACUAAAUUGUAAAACAACACUAACAAUGUAAGAUUAAUCCAACAAGUGAAGUAUGGAGGGGUUGGUGUACUGCACACAACCUUACCUCUGGCAAGGCUAACUUUUUUCUCAACUUGUAUUUCCAGAUGCUUGGGGCUAAUGAAAAAAAUAACAAAUUGAUAGGACAUGAAGUAACCUAAGAAAAUUGAAGGAAAGGUGUCUUUUAAGUCUUGAAUGAAGUAUUGGUGACAUUGACCAAUAGAUAGGGUCAAACAUCAUUAGGAAACUUGAUUAAGUUAAUUGUGGACUAGAUUAAUAUUUUCAAAAAUUUUUAAUUUUUUCAAAAAUACAAAUCAACCCAACCCACACCCCUUUUCAAUCCUAAUCAACCACUCUCUCUCUCCAGCUUCUCCUAACCAACAGUUCUGCAAAAUUUCUUCCUUCAACCUCCGGCGAUAAAUAGUCGGGCGAGUUCCUUUUCGACUUUCAACCGUCAAUCAACGUGAAUACUUCUCCGACGACGACAACUUCGAGUUCUUCGUCCUCUCAUUUCCUUUUUCACAGGUAAAAAAUUAUGAAGAAACAGAGAAACUUUAGCCAACUACUCUUCUGGUAUUGAAAUGUGGACUGAAUAAAAUCUUAAUUUCUGGAAUUUCUGCAUUUCUUCUUCUCGUUGUCGUACUAUUAAUUCGAAUUUGUUGGUGAUUUUUUAUCACAGUUGAUGUUCUUAGUAUGUAUGUGUGUGUGUGAUAUAUUGGUGUUGUUGGGUUGAUUUGUUGUUUGUCUUGGUAGAAAUGGUAUUGCAACAGUUGAAACAUCUGAUGUAAUAGAUGAAACAUAUGAUGCAACAGAUAANNNNNNNNNNNNNNNNNNNNNNNNNNNNNNNNNNNNNNNNNNNNNNNNNNNNNNNNNNNNNNNNNNNNNNNNNNNNNNNNNNNNNNNNNNNNNNNNNNNNNNNNNNNNNNNNNNNNNNNNNNNNNNNNNNNNNNNNNNNNNNNNNNNNNNNNNNNNNNNNNNNNNNNNNNNNNNNNNNNNNNNNNNNNNNNNNNNNNNNNNNNNNNNNNNNNNNNNNNNNNNNNNNNNNNNNNNNNNNNNNNNNNNNNNNNNNNNNNNNNNNNNNNNNNNNNNNNNNNNNNNNNNNNNNNNNNNNNNNNNNNNNNNNNNNNNNNNNNNNNNNNNNNNNNNNNNNNNNNNNNNNNNNNNNNNNNNNNNNNNNNNNNNNNNNNNNNNNNNNNNNNNNNNNNNNNNNNNNNNNNNNNNNNNNNNNNNNNNNNNNNNNNNNNNNNNNNNNNNNNNNNNNNNNNNNNNNNNNNNNNNNNNNNNNNNNNNNNNNNNNNNNNNNNNNNNNNNNNNNNNNNNNNNNNNNNNNNNNNNNNNNNNNNNNNNNNNNNNNNNNNNNNNNNNNNNNNNNNNNNNNNNNNNNNNNNNNNNNNNNNNNNNNNNNNNNNNNNNNNNNNNNNNNNNNNNNNNNNNNNNNNNNNNNNNNNNNNNNNNNNNNNNNNNNNNNNNNNNNNNNNNNNNNNNNNNNNNNNNNNNNNNNNNNNNNNNNNNNNNNNNNNNNNNNNNNNNNNNNNNNNNNNNNNNNNNNNNNNNNNNNNNNNNNNNNNNNNNNNNNNNNNNNNNNNNNNNNNNNNNNNNNNNNNNNNNNNNNNNNNNNNNNNNNNNNNNNNNNNNNNNNNNNNNNNNNNNNNNNNNNNNNNNNNNNNNNNNNNNNNNNNNNNNNNNNNNNNNNNNNNNNNNNNNNNNNNNNNNNNNNNNNNNNNNNNNNNNNNNNNNNNNNNNNNNNNNNNNNNNNNNNNNNNNNNNNNNNNNNNNNNNNNNNNNNNNNNNNNNNNNNNNNNNNNNNNNNNNNNNNNNNNNNNNNNNNNNNNNNNNNNNNNNNNNNNNNNNNNNNNNNNNNNNNNNNNNNNNNNNNNNNNNNNNNNNNNNNNNNNNNNNNNNNNNNNNNNNNNNNNNNNNNNNNNNNNNNNNGGUUCAGGAGACCCCUACCUUUGUGUCUCUCUCCCACUUUUUAAUUUAAUGUAACUGAUUAUGUAUUAUUUAUUCCUUUAAUAUUGAUGUGGGUUGACCCACAUUGGUGACCUGAUCCAGUUUCCUACACCUUUAAAUAUGCAUGUGUUGGUGAAUUAUCCAUCCGUGGUUUGCAUGAUUAAUUUCUCUGAGUAAUUUUCACCUCAAGGUUCUCAGUGUAUUUCAGGACGUAUUUGUUGCUGGAACUGACACAAGUUCCAACGUAAUGGAGUGGGCUAUGGCUGAGAUUCUUAAAGCUCCAGAAGUUAUGAAGAAAGCCCAAGCCGAGCUCGCAGAAGUCAUCGGAGAAGGGAAGGCAAUAGAAGAAGCUGACAUACUCCGACUCCCAUACUUGCAGUGCAUUAUUAAAGAAACUUACAGGCUGCACCCUCCAGCUCCUUUUUUGGUUCCUCGAGAAGCAGGGGAAGAUGUUGAGGUAUGCGGCUACACUGUCCCUAAAGGUUCAAAAUUGAUGGUUAAUGUGUGGGCAAUUGGUCGGGACGCAACCCUUUGGGAAGACCCUUUGGUGUUUAAUCCUGAUAGGUUUAUGGAUUCAAAAAUGGACGUGCGAGGUCAAGAUUUUGAGUUAAUUCCAUUUGGUGCUGGUCGAAGGAUUUGCCCUGGUCUGCCCUUGGCAGUAAGGAUGGUUCCCGUUAUGCUUGGCACACUGUUGAAUACAUUUAAAUGGAAAAUUGAGGGUGACGUUGCUCCAAAAGACUUGGACAUGCAGGAUAAAUUUGGCCUCACCUUGGCCAGACUUCGUCCUCUCCGAGCUGUCCCACUUCCCCUCUGAAAUCCAAAUUUAGAGGGCUUCCUAGAAAUGGCAGUAUGAUGAACAUUGCAGCUAAUAUUUCAUUUCCAUGAAAAUGAAAAAGAAAUAAAGAAUUUAGUUUAGUGAAGGAAAGUUUCUUCAAAAAAGAGAUCAGGAAGUAUUAUUUUACUUGAAGUUCAGAAAAUGCAAGGCAACGUGGAAAAGUUAAGUGAUCCACAACAUUUGAGAUGUAAAUUUUAUCCUUUCAUAAUCACCUUUGUUUGAUUUUAGUUGAAAAGAUUUCGUCUCGUGGUGCCUUGAUCCAUUAUUUUGGAUCAUAUAAUUAAUGUUAAAAUUGGUCUUGGACCAAACUCACACCCCAAAAGUUAGCUCAAGAGGGGGAGGAUUGCCCAAGCCUUAUAAGGAGACCACCCAUCUCAUUAACCACCAAUGUGGGACUUUUUCUUUCUUCUAACAUCCCCCUUACGCCCAGACCUUAAUUGGGUGUGGAAAAUCUCUCCCGAAUCUCAAUCCAGAGGUCUAGGCGUGGAAAAUCUCUCCCGAAUCUCAAUCCGGAAGCCCAACAUUGGGUGAGAUGGGUCUGGAUACCAUGUUAAAAUUGGUCUGGGGCCUAACUCACACCUCAAAAGCUAGCUCAAGAGGUGAGGAUUGUCCAACUUCAUAUAAGCAAACCACUAGUCCAUUCCCCAACCAAUGUGAGACUUUUACCCACUCUAACACCCCUUCUCACGCCCAGGCCCAACUGGCAGUGGCGCAUGAACCGGGAGCCCAAAACGGGGAUAGACAUAGCUCUAAUACCAUGUCAAGAAUGGACCUUGGGCCUUACUCAACCUCAAAAGCUAGCUCAAGAGGUGAGGAUUACCCAACUUCAUUUAAGCAAACCACUAGUUCAUUCCCCAACCAAUGUGAGACUUUUACCCACUCUAACACAAUUUUAACAAUUAAAGUAAUGCCUUCAGAAAUAUAUGAAACUUUAAGCGUACAUGAUAUCUAACAUCCUGUAUACGGCGUUUUUGGAAUGCCAACUCAUAUUCGAAUUUGAUUUACAUGUUUCCAAGCCAAGUGCUUACUUCUGUUGGCAACUCGAAAUGUUACCACUAAAUUGUAAAACAACACUAACAAUGUAAGAUUAAUCCAACAAGUGAAGUAUGGAGGGGUUGGUGUACUGCACACAACCUUACCUCUGGCAAGGCUAACUUUUUUCUCAACUUGUAUUUCCAGAUGCUUGGGGCUAAUGAAAAAAAUAACAAAUUGAUAGGACAUGAAGUAACCUAAGAAAAUUGAAGGAAAGGUGUCUUUUAAGUCUUGAAUGAAGUAUUGGUGACAUUGACCAAUAGAUAGGGUCAAACAUCAUUAGGAAACUUGAUUAAGUUAAUUGUGGACUAGAUUAAUAUUUUCAAAAAUUUUUAAUUUUUUCAAAAAUACAAAUCAACCCAACCCACACCCCUUUUCAAUCCUAAUCAACCACUCUCUCUCUCCAGCUUCUCCUAACCAACAGUUCUGCAAAAUUUCUUCCUUCAACCUCCGGCGAUAAAUAGUCGGGCGAGUUCCUUUUCGACUUUCAACCGUCAAUCAACGUGAAUACUUCUCCGACGACGACAACUUCGAGUUCUUCGUCCUCUCAUUUCCUUUUUCACAGGUAAAAAAUUAUGAAGAAACAGAGAAACUUUAGCCAACUACUCUUCUGGUAUUGAAAUGUGGACUGAAUAAAAUCUUAAUUUCUGGAAUUUCUGCAUUUCUUCUUCUCGUUGUCGUACUAUUAAUUCGAAUUUGUUGGUGAUUUUUUAUCACAGUUGAUGUUCUUAGUAUGUAUGUGUGUGUGUGAUAUAUUGGUGUUGUUGGGUUGAUUUGUUGUUUGUCUUGGUAGAAAUGGUAUUGCAACAGUUGAAACAUCUGAUGUAAUAGAUGAAACAUAUGAUGCAACAGAUAAAAAUCUGAUGCAACAGAUUAAAAAUCUGAUGCAACUAUGAAAAUAUGAUUCAACAGGUGAACAAUCUAACAGAUCAUUCAUCUGUUGCGACAGACGACUCUUCUAUUUGGAAGAAAUCUAAAUAAUAUUGAUCCAAUAGAUAACUAAUUAGUGAUCUAUUUUUAUUUUUUCCAACAGUUUACUCUUCAUUUUAAAAUCUGAUGCAACAGAUUAAAAAUCUGAUGCAACUAUGAAAAUUUGAUGCAACAGGUGAACAAUCUAACAGAUCAUUCAUCUGUUGCGACAGACGACUUUUCUGUUUGGAAGAAAUCUAAACAAUAUUGAUCCAACAGAUAACUUAUUAGUGAUCUAUUUUUAUUCUUUCCAAUGGUUUACUCUUCAUUUUACAAUAGAUUAGGACUGUUUUAUUCUUUCCAACGAUUUACUCAUACAGGUUGGUUAUCUAUUGCAACAGAUAACAUACCUGGUGCAACAAAUUAAUGAUCCAUUUUUAUUCUUUCCAGCGCUUUACUCAUACGUUGCAAAAGGUCGGUUAUAUGUUGCAACAGAUAAAAUACCUGGUGCAACAGAUUAGUGAUCUAUUUUUAUUAUUUCCAACGGAUUACUCAUCCGUUGCAACGGGUCAGUUAUGUGUUGCAUCAGAUAAAAUACCAAGUGCAAUAGAUAGUACUGUUUUUAUUAUUCCUACAUAUUACUCAUCCAUUGCAACAGUCGAUUAUAUGUUGCAACAGAUAACAUACCUGGUGCAACAGAUUAGUUGUCUGUUGGAACUGUUAUAUUACUGUUAUGCAUUGAUCAAUUAUAAUCUAUGUUAUGUUCCUGUUAAUUUAAGAUAACAUGGCUCCCAAAAUAAAAGAAAUCGAAUCAAGUCCAAGUAAAGGAACAAGUGCAGCAGCUCAGCUACAUCCACCACUCUAUGAGCUUGCUUUACAAGCGUUAUCCCAAUCAGGAGCAAAAGAUAAUGAAUAUAGGGAGGAGGAAUCUUUCAAAAGAGAUGAUCCAAAUGCCAAUAGCCCUUCCACCGAAGAGUUGGUCAAAACCUUCAGCAUUGAUCGUUACCCUGUGAGAAUGUAGUAUGAUGGUGACACAGAUUUAACGGGUGAUCUCGUGGUUAAGUCAGUCAUGGAAAAAUCUUUCGACGCCUUCAAAAAAAUACUUCGAGAACAAAAAUUGGAUUCUUAUUUCAGGGAAAGCUGCUUUGNNNNNNNNNNNNNNNNNNNNNNNNNGACUAAAAUGUUAUCCUCCUUCUCCUUCUCAAGUUAUACCUACUCUGACCCAAAAAAAGCACCCCGCAUACCCAAAAAAAGGAAAAGGCAAGUUGAGUGAUCGUGAUGACCUGGUGUCCAUUGUUGGUCCAAGCUUCAAAAAUAAAAAUCUGAUUGAAGCAUUGAAAGGUAAAGGACUUUCAAAGAAGCACAAGCAAUCAUUGUGCUUGGUUUGGUUUGUACAUAAUGUUCUUUGGGCGAGAGAUGUUAACAACAACAUAGGCCUCGGUUUAAUAAAUCUCUCAGAGGAUCUUGAGGCAUUUAACAGCUAUCCUUGGGGUUAUGAAAGCUUCAAAAUGACUGUCGAAUAUUUGUUGACUCCGUUAAUGCCAAAAACAGUCAACUUAUAUGGUUUUCCAUGGGCCUUCAUGGUAAAUAUUUUUUUUUAUCAUGAUAUGAUUCAUCAUUUUUUAUUUAAUAAUGCUUUUGAUUUAUUGGCGUUAUGUUAUAGGCUUGGGCAUUUAAAGUCAUUCCUUAUUUGAGACAACAAGUGAACUACCAGGAAGAAGUUUCCUAUCUAAGAAUUCUGAGAUUGUUUUCGGCCAAAAUCGAUAAAAAUGCAAAAUUUCUUGAUCUUUUGUGACUUCAUAUCACCAACUUCUUGGUCUAAUCUCAUUACCAAUUGGUCAUGACACCGAUACUUUAACUUAUACUACUACCCGGGUGGAAAUACAGUUCCAAUAUCCUGCUACACCUCAUUCCUUCUUAAGCGUGACAUCUGCAAUAAUAUUUUUUUUUGAAAAGGACUGAUACCCUUAAUACCACAGGCUGAAAAGCAUGAUUUCAUCAUAAUCAAAGUUCACAUUAGAAUCAAUACACUCUAAGGCACUAACGGACUCUUGACAGGUCCUUGCACAAUUUUUGAAAUCUUAUAUGGCUCAAUCAGAAAGGACCAUACUAUUUAGAUUCUAGACUUCUGCACUUGAUUCACCCCAACAAUGAGACAUAUCUGAGCACAUCAAAUUCAGAAAAGAAUUGGAUAACUUUACUUUUGUAUAGGCAACACCAUAGCACAAAUUAGAGUAUGAAAGAGGAAUAUUCUAACUCCAUAGCACGAACUAGAACAUAAAAAAAGGAAAGCAUUCCUAAACGCCUAGUAGCCUCCUUCUUAUAAGUGUGGCAUGCUACAUACCCAUAAACAAGACUCUACCCGACGCAAUUUCGCAGACAUCCUGGGACAUGAACCGUGCUCUGAUACCAAGUUUGUCACGACCCGAACCGGGUCCCUGGCUGUGACGAACAUCCAAAAUCAUAAAGGUCUGGACGCCCCUAUCUAUCUGGUAAUCAUGCACAUCAUUCAUAUACUAUAGGAAAAUGCGGAAUUAUAUAAUAGAAUGGAAUCAUGGUCAUAAAUAUGAUAUAAUUCAACAAUAAAAAAUGAAAUUCAAAACCAUAUGAUAACAUCUGAAAAUCGUCUGCAAAAUCUCCACUACAUGACUAAUACCAACUAUCUGAAAACUGGGACAAGGUCCCCAGUAGACCAAAACCCUGACUAAUGAUAAAUGUCUAAAAAUAAAUAGGCCUUCCUAAAUAUAGAAGGCUUACCAACUGAACUCUGCACUUCUGUCUGAAGAAAUCUACUGCUUAUCAAGACACCUAGAUUAUGCCUCAAAACCUAGAGGGUAGGGGGUCAAUACAAUUGUACUGGUAAGCAGAGCAAUCCAAAAUAAAGCUUUUAUAUAAAUAAAAUAAUUGAGAGCUAGUCAUAAAAUAUCUCAUAAGAUAUAAGUUCGAAACACAUGAGCAUUGUUGAUAAAAUCAUAAAAAAAACUUUCUGUCACUGCAAUUCAUAAUCUUUGUAUUACUUCUGAGUUAGGUGGCACUUCCCUACAAGUCUGAUAUUCCAUGGGCUAUAUGAAAUCCAUCAUUGACUCGUAGGGGAAUCCCCCAACCCAAGUGUGCCACAAGGGUUAAGAGUGUCUGAGUCUGAUAUGCCAUAGGGCACUAGGCCAGCGUAUAAUAAUAUACCCGAAUCGGCAAAUCACGGUUUUGGGCAAUGAGUUGUCUGAACUCGUGCCUUCUUCGGGAAACCACCUAAGCUCUCUUUAUGCCCAAUUUUAGUCUGUUCUGAAAUAUGCACCAUUCUAGUUCAAAAUCUAAAAAUUUGAUUUCAAACAUGCAUUCUAUUCUGUUCUGAAUUAACAUGGCAUUAUCUGAGUUGGUGUCAUCACACCAAGAUUUGCAAGUCCUACUUCUGAGUCAUAUUGUACUAUGCAUGAUUCUUUCAUUAAAACUCAAUUCAGACCACCCAAACAUGCAAAUAGUAUAAGAGAUUUCAUGUUCUGAAAGCACAACUCAAAACUAUGCAAGGAUUAUCAUUCUUUCAAUAACAAUGUGGUGGUUCUGAAAUCUUUGUCAAACCAUGCAACUCUUUUCCUUAGAUAUUCAUAUUCAAUAUUUAUCAAUACAAACAACCCUCUCUUUUUAAUUCAAAAAUCAUAUUCAAGUCAUAGCAACAAUCAAGACAUUUCAUACCAUGCUUUUCAAGAUGCAUUUCAAAACAAUUCAUAUCAUAUGAAAGAUGGAAAAAAUAUAACAAGAGAGGGAUUCAUUAUAAUUCAUGCUCUCAAUUGAAUAUUCAUCCUUAAACACAUGCAUACAUGUAUAUAGAAUUUCAAAUCAACUUGGAGGAAGGCCUAAAGACCAAAAUAAUGUCAUUGAGACUUCUAAAACAUGAUUAUAAAUCAUAAAUCUAAAAUUCUUUUUCUUAAAAUCAUGAUUUCUAUGCCCAUGAGAUUUUUUUAGAAAAACCCCACGUACCUUAAAUUAUAAGAUCUGAAAGAUGGAACCUAGAUCUUGAUAGAUGAAACCCGGAUCUUGAUUUGCUUCUUAGAGAUAUUGAACUUAAGGCUUGAUUUUCUUGAAUUUCUUGUUCUUGGAGAAAACCCUAAUUUGAUCUUAUUUUGAGAGUGAAGAGGAAGUUUUUGAUGUUGUAAAACUGAUAGUGAUUGAUUAAUAAUGCUUAACGGGUGAUUUAAUUUGUGUGAAAGGUUUUUGGAGUGAUAAAAAGACCAAAAUACCCCUAAGGAACCCAAAAAAAUUAUAUAAUUGCAUCAGUUGACCACCAAGGUUGACGGGCCAUCACUCAGGUGAUAAGUCGUCACCCAGGUCAUCACUUUUGGGCUGGUUUUCACCAUUCACUACCUUAGGCUAAUUACCAAGUCUGACGGGCCGUCACACAACUAAUAAGUCGUCAGCCUCGUCGUCACGUUUUGGUAGAUAGACACUUUAAAUAAAAUGAGCAUAACUUUCUACUCCGAUUAGAUUAAAGCAAAACCAGUGGCUUGGAAAGAGGACUCAAAUACCUUUCAUUUGAUAUAUAGUAGGCCUCCUAAUUCGUUAUAUACAACAAUUUAUGUCCGAUUGAAUUUGACCCAAGUUUCGACGCUCACUCAAACUCGAACGAUAGGAAAGCUUUCAACUCUUCCUUGAGUUUGGGGACCUCUAUGAUCUCAAUUCAUGCCCAACUAGAUUCACACACUACAUAAAUGAUUAAUACACUGUAUUUGCAUUGGAUUUAUUGCUUUUGGAUCAUCUACGUACAGAAACGACGGUUUUCAUUCUAGCCAAAAAUACAGGGUAUUACAUUAGGUAUGUUAACCUAUUGUAUGAUCACGUUAUUUACAAGUUUAAAUUGUUAGAGAUGACACUUUUUUAAUGAUUUUUGGAAUCAUGUUUUCAAUAAGGUUCAAGAAGAUCCAAGAACUUGUAGUUUACUGUCAAAGGAGUAGCCAAACGGGCGAGACGGUUGAUAUUGGUGCUGCAAUUUUCAGACCAUGUUGAAUUUACUUUCCAACACCCUCUUCUCAAAAUACUUGGCGAAUCCAUAUGAAAAUUUGGGUAAAGAGUUUAUGGAAAUGGUGGCGGGAAUAAUGUUGGACUUGGGUAAACCAAACUUGGUAGAUUACUUUCCAGUGCUAAAAAUACUGGAUCCUCUAGGGCUGAGGCGAUAUAUUCUCUUUUCGGGAAGAUACUAAAGCUAUUUCAUGGAUUGAUAAAAGAGAGACUGGAGCUAAGGAAGUCCCAAAAUGAUUAAAAAAAACUAAUGUUUUAGAAGCCUUAAUCACAGCCAAUGAACAUGAUCCCCUAGAGAUUGAUUGCAUGCAUAUAGCAACAAUAUGUUCGGUGAGCUAUCUUUAGUUCUCCUUUUUUAUUCUUAUUUUUGAAACUGAGGGCAGGAGAUAAUUAGAAGAUCAAACCUUCACACUAACAAGGUGAAAGUUGAGAAAAUUGAGUGUAGAAUGGAAAAAAGUCUUUAAAUUAAAAAUGAAGAACGUUUUUAAGCAACUACGAUAAUAGUUGGAGAACUUUGAAAAGAACAUUUACAUUUUUUAAGUGGUUGAAUAAAUUAUGUAGAAAAUUAAGCAACUACAAUAGAUGCUUCAAUAACUACAAUAAUCGCUUCAACAAAUAUAAUAGUUGCUACAGUAGUUACGAUAAUUGCUGCAACAACUAUGAUAAUUACCGCACUAAUUACUUUUAGUUGUUGUGUUACAACAACUAUUAUAGUUGUUGUAGCAACUAAGACAAUUUUUUCAGCAACUAUAUUGUUGUUGCAGUAACUUUGACUAUUGCUUCAGCAACUUUAAUAAUUGCUUAAUUUCUGAAAAAAGAUAUAAUGGAGGAGGAGCCAACAAAGAAAAUGAUAGUCAUGGUGGAGGGGGAUAUGGUAUUGCAGGUGGUGACACUAAAGGAGAAGGUGACGAUUAUUGCAGUGUUGGUAGUAAUAAAGGUGGAGGAGAAAGAAGAAGAAUAGGCAGCGUUGUUGUAAGAGGAGGAAAUGAUGGUGAUGAUGGUGGAUUAGGAAAAUAUAUUAAUAUUGGUGGUGGUGAUGGUGGAUGAAGGGGAGGUGGUGGUGAAGGUGGCAGCGGCGGCUACAAUAAAAAGGGUGGGUAAGGUGAUGUAGGAGGAGGAGUGGUGGUGGCAGCAGCGGCAGCACCAAAAGAGGUGUGGAGAGGAUUGAGUAUGGUGGGGAAAGUAGGAGACUUUGUGUAAAUAAUAAAACUUGAGGGUUUAAAGUUUAUUGUGAUUAAAACUAAUUUUGAAAUUGUCACCUCUUCCCAAUAAUUAAGACCUGUAUCACUUUUUUUUUUUUAGUUUUGAAGUUUUUUGUCACCCUUAAUUAAUUUUCCUAUGAAAGUUUUAUAGUAGCCAAUCAACAUGAGCUACAAGAUUUCCUAUGUAUGUAUGUAUGUAUGUAUGUAUGUAUGUAUGUAUGUAUGUAUGUAUGUAUGUAUGAUCUUUUAUGGCUACUUACAAAUUGAAUAUAAGAAAUAUUUCAGAUCUAUUAUGUGUAACUAUGAAGAUCUCUUCUAAACAUAAACUAAAAAUAAGUUUAUAAGGGGCUACAAAACCAAAUUUCCAACCUAUGUUUCGUAAUCAAAAAUAUCGAAUUCAAGUGAACCCUUCAAAUAUGCAUGCGUUGGUAAAUUAUCCAUCCGUGGUUUGCAUGAUUAAUUUCUCGAGUAAUCUUCACCUCAAGGUUCUCAGUGUAUUUCAGGACUUAUUUGUUGCCGGAACUGACACAAGUUCGAAUGUAAUGGAGUGGGCUAUGGCUAAGCUUCUUAAAGCUCCAGAGAUUAUGAAGAAAGCCCAAGCCGAGCUCACAUAAUUCAUCGGAGAAGGGAAGGAAAUAGAGGAAGCUGACGUAGUCCGACUCCCUUACUUGCAGUGAAUUAUUAAAGAAACUUACAGACUGCACCCUCCAUCUCCUUUUUUGGUUCCUCAAGAAGCAGGGGAAGAUGUUGAGUUAUGCGGUUACACUGUCCCUAAAGGUUCAAAAUUGAUGGUUAAUGUGUGGGCAAUUGGUCGAGACUCAUCCCUUUGGGAAGAUAUGUCACGCCCCAAAAUCCCAUCGGGCCGGACUGGCACCCGANNNNNNNNNNNNNNNNNNNNNNNNNNNNNNNNNNNNNNNNNNNNNNNNNNNNNNNNNNNNNNNNNNNNNNNNNNNNNNNNNNNNNNNNNNNNNNNNNNNNNNNNNNNNNNNNNNNNNNNNNNNNNNNNNNNNNNNNNNNNNNNNNNNNNNNNNNNNNNNNNNNNNNNNNNNNNNNNNNNNNNNNNNNNNNNNNNNNNNNNNNNNNNNNNNNNNNNNNNNNNNNNNNNNNNNNNNNNNNNNNNNNNNNNNNNNNNNNNNNNNNNNNNNNNNNNNNNNNNNNNNNNNNNNNNNNNNNNNNNNNNNNNNNNNNNNNNNNNNNNNNNNNNNNNNNNNNNNNNNNNNNNNNNNNNNNNNNNNNNNNNNNNNNNNNNNNNNNNNNNNNNNNNNNNNNNNNNNNNNNNNNNNNNNNNNNNNNNNNNNNNNNNNNNNNNNNNNNNNNNNNNNNNNNNNNNNNNNNNNNNNNNNNNNNNNNNNNNNNNNNNNNNNNNNNNNNNNNNNNNNNNNNNNNNNNNNNNNNNNNNNNNNNNNNNNNNNNNNNNNNNNNNNNNNNNNNNNNNNNNNNNNNNNNNNNNNNNNNNNNNNNNNNNNNNNNNNNNNNNNNNNNNNNNNNNNNNNNNNNNNNNNNNNNNNNNNNNNNNNNNNNNNNNNNNNNNNNNNNNNNNNNNNNNNNNNNNNNNNNNNNNNNNNNNNNNNNNNNNNNNNNNNNNNNNNNNNNNNNNNNNNNNNNNNNNNNNNNNNNNNNNNNNNNNNNNNNNNNNNNNNNNNNNNNNNNNNNNNNNNNNNNNNNNNNNNNNNNNNNNNNNNNNNNNNNNNNNNNNNNNNNNNNNNNNNNNNNNNNNNNNNNNNNNNNNNNNNNNNNNNNNNNNNNNNNNNNNNNNNNNNNNNNNNNNNNNNNNNNNNNNNNNNNNNNNNNNNNNNNNNNNNNNNNNNNNNNNNNNNNNNNNNNNNNNNNNNNNNNNNNNNNNNNNNNNNNNNNNNNNNNNNNNNNNNNNNNNNNNNNCAUAUAACAAUGACUAAUGCACGUAAUUAAGUACAGGGUGUUACAAGAUAGGUGCUUAUCUUUUGUGUUUGGUAUUUUGUUAGUUUGUCUUGUGUACCACACUAGUUAUAUAUACUUAUAUUUGGGUUGGUAUAUGGGUAUCGGUCCUAAGCCGGGGAUCUAUCGGAAACAACCUCUCUACUUCUCCUGAGGUAGUGGUAUGGUUUGCGUACACUCUACCCUCCCUAGACCCCACUAAGUGGGAAUACACUGUUAAAAUCCGAUCAAACCCGGUUAAAAUCCGGUCAAACCCGGUCAAAAAUUAAAAGAAUUUUUUUUUUCAAUAUACACAAUAUAUACCUACCUAUAUAUAUUUUAAAUACGUUAAACAAUAUAUAUACACUAUAUAUAUAAUAUAUACUACAUUAGAAUUUAAAAAAUAUAUACACAUAUACACAAUGACACAUAUAUAUGCACCUUUCAAUAUAUACGACUAUACGUGCUACUUUAAAUAAAACAUAUACUAUAAUAUAUAUAAGUAUAUGUAUAGAGUUAUAUACUAAUUUAUAAAGCAUAUACACAUGUAUACAUUAAAUAAACACUUCUAUAGAAGAUCUAUACACAAAUAUAAGCAUCAUUCAAUAUAUAUGUACUACUUUAAGUAAAACAUAUACUACAAUAUAUAUAUAUAUAUAUAUAUAUAUAUAUAUAUGUAUAUAUCAUAUCACAUGUAUACAUUACAUAUACACAUACAUAGAAGAUAUAUACACAAAUAUACAAAACAUAUGCUACUUAAUAUAAUAAAUUAUUAAUAAUAUACUAUAGUAAAUUAAUAAAAUAUUAGAAGUAAGUUUUUAAUUUAAACUAGAAAUUCAAUUUAAAUCAUUAAAUGAAAAAAAUACAAAGUAAGGACUAAGGAAGGAGUGAAUGAAUGUUGAAUCUUAUUGAUUGCGAAAUGAUCCAAAAUUUAUAAUUUACAUGAAUGAAAAAUCUACAAAUUAUGCAUUAUUUUUUUCAACUCAUUCUUUAAUAUUAACGGGAACUUGCAUAAGAUAGUCAAAGUCAGCGGGGGCAAAACCAUGCAUUGGACUUGAUUCUGCUGAGUUCUUCCGUGAAGACAUAAUUUCUUCAAGUUUUAGCUCGUGGUUCGGCUUCGGUUCCAUUCCUUGGUUUCUUCUUUCCGCUCUAAUCCAAUCUCUGAGGCAAAUUAGAACAUUCAUUGCAUUGCUUCCCAAUGAGUGUCGGUUGUCUCUAAGCUGUUGUGGUCCCCAACUAAAGGCGCUCUCUGAUGUAACGGUUAACAUUGGAACAUUCAAGAUAUCUCUAGCUAAUCUUGAAAGCACAGGAUAUUGUGUUUCAUUACUCCUCCACCAAUCCAACGUGUUGAUCCGUUGUUUGCGAUCCUCUGGCGACGACCGAAGAUAAUAUUUCAGCUCUUCCCGAUAACUUGAUGUGUAAGUUCUCUCAUCAACACUGUUCCAACAAGGUAAAUCAUAAAAGGAAUCAGAAAAACCACUAUAUGUUAGCCUUUUAGAAGAUAAUAGCUCCUCGGGAGGAUGAGGAACGACAGUUGGAGUGAUAUUUGUAGGUACGGCUAAGUCAAAUAAAUCAGCAUAGUGAUUAUAUAAUUUUUCUAUGUAUUCAUUUGCAUCACCCAUAGUCGUCCACAAAUCUGGUUGUACUUGUUCAGAAUCAUUAUUAGUAUUUAUUUCUAAGUUAGCAUAAAUAAUAGUACUAAAGUGGCUCAUUGUAUUAUAUUUCAUGCGCGAAUGUAGCAUAGCACCAACCAAGUAAAUAGGGGGAAUCGGAAAAAAAUAUUUUUUAAAUUUAGUAAACAUGAUACCAACAGCUUCUUUAUAACCUUCUUUGUUUUUAUAUUCUUUGAGCAAACCAGAAAUAUCGGCUAUAUAUGUCAAAAUAUUACAAACAGUAGGAUAAUAAGCACCGAAAAAUUCAACCGUAGCUACAUAAAUUUUUUCUAAAAACUUAACAAGAUCAUUAAUGACAACCCAAUGAGAAUCAUGUAGUAUGCAAUCAGCAGAAUCAACAAAUGAACCGCAAUGUUGGUUAAAAGCUAGUUUAGUAGGGACUCUAUAUUUAUAACAAGUUUUUAAAAAAUCAUACGUAGAAUUUCAUCUAAUAUCAAUUUCCUCAGGCAUUAAUAUCGGUGCAAGUCCAUUUUCUUGACAUUUAACUUUAAAUUCUCUAAUUCUUUUUCUUCGAUUAUUUCCUUGAAUAAAACCANNNNNNNNNNNNNNNNNNNNAAGCUCAAAAAACUCAAGACCAUCUUUUACAAUUAAAUUAUAUAUAUGACAUGCACACUUAAUAUGAAAUAUUUCAGGCAAUGGCGGAGAUAACUUAGAUUUUAAUUUUUUACAGCAGUCUUGUUGUUAGAAACAUUAUCAAAAGCAAUACAUAAGAUUUUAUUUUCGAUGCCAUAAAAUCCGGCAACUUUAACAAUAGAAUCAACAAUAAAAUCUCCAGUAUGUUUACGAUCUUCAUCAUAUAAAAAAGCAAGAAUACGUUUUUGCAUCACAAAAUUACUAUCCAUCCAGCGACAAGUAACGGUUAAAUAAUCAUUUUUAUUUACAGCACGACCAAGAUCAGAAGUUAGGGACAAUCUACAUUGAAUAUUUUUUAACAAUGUUGAUAAAUAAAAAUAAUAUUGUGAAUGAAGUCUAAAAAUAUCAGAUCGACAAGUACUUCUAAGAGCACCAUUAAACAUAGGAUUAUAAAUUGCUUGAAUAUAAUGAAUAAAGGCAUCAGAAGAAGGAAAACUAAAAGGCAAACAACCCACAACUACUAUUUUAGCUUUUUCUUCUCGAUCCCUUAAUUUAUUAUACUUUUUCGUUACCUGACCCGUUGCUAGGUCCAUUCUAAUUUGAGUUGGCCCACUAACAUCCCCACCACCUCGUGUAAUAUUUAACUCUCUUUCGUGAGCAUCACCUAUAUGUCUCAUUAGUGUACCCAUACCCCCUUGCUUGCCUCCACUUUUAUGCUUAUAUAUUUGUUGACAAAUAUUGCAUUGCACCUUAGUAUCUGAUAUACGUUCAAAAAAUUGUCAUGCAAUACUAGUUGUUUUACGAGGUCUUGAGGCACGGGGAGGACGGGAAGGGAGAUUAAUCGAUUCAGAUCUAACGUUAGCGUUUCCUACUGCCGGUGUCUCACCAAUAUUUUCAUCAUCUUCGUCUAAAUUAACUGCAUCUACUUCAUUUUCUUCUAUACCAUAAUUUUUCUGAGCUUCUACAUAAUUCAUAUCGUGAGCACCUACAUCUAUUUCUUCCUCAAAAGGUGUACCAAGCGGUACCGGAGGUGAUGACACAUGGGUAUAUCUACUAUUUGAAGUACCUCUACCUCUAGUAAUUCGCUUUUUACUACUAGUACCUCUUGCGGGACAAAAUUUUUUAACACCUUUAGUAGCGAGGUUUCUUAAUAUAUCCAUAGUAUAAAUUAAAUUAAACUAAAAAAAUUCAAAAUACACAAAUAUAAUAAAAUUAAAUAUUCAACAAUUAAUACAAUAAAUAAAAAUUAAACGUAAAAGAUGAAACGACAAUACCAAAUUUUGAAAGUAUCCGAAGGUUGCGACUUUAGAAACUUUCACUCGUACUUUGUAAACGCAAAAUAAAAAAAAAUAAAGUGAGCACUUUAGAAAAUUAAAUAUAUUAAAUAUUUGAGAAUUGAGAAUUGAGAUUUGAGAGAGAAUGAGGUUUAAGAGAGUAAAAAAUUGUGUGAAAAAUGAUUUGAAAGUGUAGAAUAUUUAUAAAAUUUUUUUUGGGAUUAAAAAAUAAUAUUAAAAGUAAUUUUUUUUAAUAUAUGGGCCCAAACUAACCGUUUGGACCCAAAAACGGCUAUAUAGCAGUUGGACCAACGACUAGUUUGGCCCAAAAUCCAUUUUUUAAAAAAAAAAACUUUAAACCGAGCCGAGUCAGAUUAAUCGGGCCCAAAUUUAAAAAAAUAGCCCGGGUCCCUAAAGCCCUUUGGACUUAUCGGGACGGGUAGGACCAGGUCAACCCAAACCACUUGACACCCUUAGUGGAACCACAUGAGAUGUACAUACCUCCGAUCCAUUUGGAAUAUCAUUUUAGCCACAUAAUUUUUGUUUUGUUCGCAGUACAUAAUUCCUCCAAUUCAUUUUAGUUGAUCAAAAAAUAAAUAUUUUAAAUUAUUUAUAUAUUUACUAAAUUAAGAUAAUAUUAAUUUUUUUUUUCAUUUUACGCUUACCAUUACUACUCUUUACUCUUUGGAAUUGGAAAAAUAAGUUUAUAAAAUUUCAAGAAAGUAUUUUAAGGGAUAAAUUAAUAAAUUAUCCUUCUUAUUUAUGAUUUCUUAAGUUAAGCACGCAAAAUGAAAGUGAUUAACUAAUACUCCCUCCGUCCCAUUUUACUCGUCUCAAAUUUCCUAAUUUAAUUUCUCAUUUUAAUUGUCCUUUUUCAUUAAUCAAAACAAAAUAAUUUUCUUUUUUCUUUUUUUACCCUUAUUAUUAAUUAUUUUUUCUACAAAUUAAAAUAUAAACAUCACUUAAUAAGAGUAUUAUCGUAAAAUAAUCAUGUUAUUAAUUAUUUUUUUAAUCAAUGUGCAAUGUCAAUUUGAAAUGAGUAAAAUGAAAUGAAGAGAAAAUAUAAUAUCAAAUCGAGACGAGUAAAUAUAUAAAUUAUUUUAUUGGAAUUUGGAACAACAAAGUUUGAAAAACAACGUAACUAUUUUAAUUUCUUACUGGUUUCUUAACACAGUUACAGUGACGUAAUACUUAUUUUGGCAACCAUAAGAGUUGGUGUGGUGGUUCCGCACUUCACCCAUUAAGGAAGAGGUUGGGGGUUCGAUCCCCACCUCUGAUGAAUGAAAAAAACUCCAUGGCCAGUUUCCUACCGCUUAGUGUGUUGACCGUAGGAACAGAUGAUUAGUCUCACGGCUAUCGGCCGUCGACUGUGGGGAUACCUUGAAAAACCAAAAAAAAAAAAAACUUAUUUUGGCAAGAUAAAUAAAAUUUAGUCAAACACUUUUAUGAGUAAUACUAUGAAGUAGUAAUAUCUUUUUAAUUAAAUAUAUCAAACUUUAAACACAUUUAAAACAUACCGAAGAAGUAAGUUUUGUAUGCCUAAACCUUAAAUCACAUUUUUAAAUGGAUUGAGAAAUAUUUUUUUCCUCCACUUUUACUUGUCUUAUACUAUUAAAAAUAAUUUUUUCUUUUUAUUUUUCCACUGAAGCGUAUUAAGAAAACGACAAUUUCUUUUUUCUUAUUUACCACUAACAUUAACUGCUAUCAAUUUUUAUUAGUUUCUUCAUAGAAAACAAACUGUUCAUCAGAUUGUAAACUGUAAAAGGGAAUAAAGAUGAAAGAAACAGUAAAAAAAAUUGUGAGCUAAUUGUGUUCUUUUUUCAUUAGUAGGUAAAUUUUAGUUGGGUGAUUUUGAUAGUUUGUAAAAGUUAGGGCAUAAAAUCAUAUUUAAAAAUUUUUUUUCAAAAGUCAAUUUUUUUUUCUUCAAAAAAAGCAUGGUCAAACACAACUCCAACUCCAACUUCAACUCCAAUUCCGAAAAAUUUUAGUUUUCAUGGCCAAACGGCUACUAAAUAAGCCAUUCGUCCCAUUUUAUGUGUUAUCAUUUUCUUUUUAGUCCGUCCCAAAAAAAAUAUCAUUUUUUCUUAUUUGAUAAUUAUUUAAAGAUACAAUUCAACUUUUACCCUUAUUGAUCCCACUUAAUUAAUAAAAGAUACUAACAUUUUUUGAUAAAGGACAAUUUGAUAAAUAUUAUCAAGUCUUCUCUUAUUUCUUAAACUCCAUGUUCGGUCAAAUGACGAUACAUAAAAUGAAACGGAGGAAGUAUGUCUUUUUUUUAAAAUUAAUAUUGGACUUGGAGUCCUUUUUAUGGCAAAUCACCAAAUAAAUACAUACAACCCAAUAACAAAACAAAUAAAAUCUGAUGACCCAACCUGGCCCAAUUGCCAAGUUGGGUCUCUAUAAAUAUAUCUUUUUUUUUUUAUAUUUAAGAAAUUUAUAGUAAUUAUUUUGGACCAACAUGUUACUAUCUUUAUUUAAUUUGUUAUUUUGCCAUGUUACCCUCGCAUGUGUACUACACACAUUUUAAUUUAAACUAUGUUGAGAUUAUCAAAUUUAAUUAUGCUAUUAGUUUAGUUAGUAUAGUUUGAUGUUAGCCUUGUUACCUGUACAACUAGCCGAUUAGUUUCUUGUUAUUAAAGUAGUUUGUUAGAGUAGUUAUGCUGACUAGGCAGUUGUUUAUGCCUUGUUGCAAGCUGUAGACAGCUGACAUUUUAUUUUUCUUACUUGUAUAUAUAGAUUGCUCCUACAUGAAUAAAAUUAGUUUUUGGUUUCUCAUUUUAACCUGAUCUCAAAUAUCUUCUCUCUAGAGCUCAAACUGCUCAAUUAAUGAAGUUUAUGAUCUGUUUCCAUUGAAGCUUCUUCAAUUCUAACAUGGUAUCAGAGCAGAGAAUUUAAACCUUUGCUCUCGUCCUCACUGUAUCACAGUUUCACUUUUACAUCAAAUUUUUAUUUUUUUUCUCUGCAAUUUUUACUGCUUUGUUUACACGACCUUUGUUGCCGCAUUUUCCUUUUGUUAUUGCAAUUUUCAUUCAAUUUAUCCUUCUUCCCAUAUACUUUUGUUCUUAUUUUCAUCAAUUUUCCAAUUUCACAAUCGCAUUACUGUGUUUCAAGUCAUGACAACUACUUAUGAACAACCUGCCCAACCAGCCCUGUCACGACCCGAAUCGGGGCCCUAGCUGUGACGAGCAUCCCAAACCAUGAAGGCUCGGACGCCCUUCUAACUUGUAAUCACAUACAUUGUUCAUAAAAAAUAAUGCGGAAAUAUAUACUGAAAUGGAAACAUGGUCAUUAAAUCUGAAUUUAAAUCAUAAUGAAAGAUGCAAUUCCAAAAAACAACUGAACGAUAUCUGACUCAGUCUGCGAAAUCUCUACUACAAGCAAAAAUCCAACUAUUUGAAUACUGGGACAAGGCCCCCAGUAGACCAAAACAUACUAAUGAUAAAUGGCUGAAGUAUCUAGGCCUUUUGAAACAUAGAAGGAUCACUAGGGACUCUGGACUUCUGCCUGUAGAAAAUCUACUGCUUAUCGGGACCCUUAGAUUGAGCCUCAGAACUUAGAAGGGAGGGGGGUCAAUACAGAUGUACUGGUACGCGAAGAAAUUCAAAAUAAAGCUUGUAUAUAAAUAAAAUAGUUGAGAGCUAGUCAUAAACAUCAUAAAAGAUAUAAUUUCCAAAACACAUGGGCAAUUUUGAAAAUAUAAAACCUUUCUGUCAAUGCAAUUCUAUUUUUCGUAUAACUUCUGAGUUAGGUGGCACUCCCCUAGGAGUCUGAUAUUCCACGGGCUAUAUGGAAUCCGUCAUUGACUCGGCGGGGAAGCCUCCAACCCAAGUGUGCCGCAAGGGUUGGAGUGUCUGAGUCUGAUACGCCACAGGGCACUAGGCCAGCGUAAAAUAAUAUACCUGGAUCGACAAAUCAUGGUUUUGGGAAAUGAGUUGUAUGAACUCGUGCCUUCUUCGGGGAACCACCUAAGCUCUCUUUAUGCCCAAUUUUAGCCUGUUCUGAAACAUGCAUCAUUCUAGUUUCAAAAUCUGAUUUCAAAUAUGCAUUUUAUUCUGUUCUGAGUCACCAUGGCAUUAUCUGAGUUGGUGUUGUCACACCAAAACUUGUAAGUCCUAUUUCUGAGCCAUAAUGUAUCAUGUAUGAUUCUUUCAUCAAAAACUCAAUUCAGACCACCCAAACAUGCAAAUAGUAUAAAAGAUUUCAUGUUCUAAAAGCACAAGUCAAAACUAUGCAAGGAUUAUAAUUCUUUCAAUAACAAUGUGGUGGUCCUGAAAUAUUUAUCAAAUCAUGCAACUCUUUCCAUUAGAGAUAUUUAUAUUCAAUAUUUAUCAAUACAAACAACCCUCUCUUUUGACUCAAAAAUCAUAUUCAUGUCAUAGUAUAAAUCAAUACAUUUCGUAUCAUGCUUUUCAAGAUACAUUUCAAAACAAUCCAUAUCAUAUGAAAAAUGGGAUAAAUCAUAUCAAAAGAGGAAUUUCAUGUGAGUCAUGCUCUCAAUUAAAACAUCACAUUAAAACACAUACAUACAUAUACAUAGGAUUUCAAAUCACUUAAGGGAGAAGGCCUAAAGACCAAACAAUAUUAAUUAAAGCUUCUAAAACAUGCUUAAACCCUUUCCGUAAAAUCAUGAUUUCUAAAUCCUUAGCAUGAAUUAAAGAAGGUUUAUUUGCCCAUAAAUUUUUUAGAAAAACCGCACGUACCUCAAAUUAAUUAGUUUAAAGAGAAGAACUCAAAUCUCGAUUCAUUCCUUGGAAAUCUUGAACUUAAGGCUUGAUUUUCUUGAAUUUCUUAUUCUUGGAGAAAACCCUAGUUUGAUCUUAUUUUGAGAGUGGAGAGAAAGUUCUUGAUGUUGUAAAACUGAUAGUGAUUGAUUAGUAACGCUUAAGGGGUAAUUUAAUUCGUGUGAAAGGUUUUUGGAGUGAGGGAAAGACCAAAAUACCCCUAAGAAACCCCAAAAAAAUCACAUAAUUGCAUCAGUUGACGAUCAGGGUUGACGGGCCAUCACUCAGGUGAUAAGUUGUCACCCAAGUUGUCACUUUUCAGCUGGUUUUCACCAUUUACUACCUUAGGCUGACGACCAGGUUUGACGGGCCAUCACACAGCCGAUAAGUCGUCAGCCUCGUCGUCACGUUCUGGCAGACAAACACUUUGAAGUAAAAUGAGCAUAACUUUCUACUCCGAUACCGAAUUAAAGCAAAACCAGUGGCAUUGAAAAGAGGACUCAAAGAAAUUUCAUUUGAUAUUUAGUAAGCCUCCUAAUUCAUUAUAUACAAAGAGUUAUGGUAAAUUGAAGUUGACCCAAAUUUUGACGCUCACUAAAACUUGAACGAUAGGAAAGCUUUCAACUAGUCCUUGAGUUAAGGGACCUCUAUGAUCUCAAUUCAUGCUCAAAUAGGUUCCCACACUACAUAAUUGAUUAAAAUACCAAAUUUGCACAGGUUUUAUGGCUUUUGGAUCAUCUACGCGUAGAAAUGACGGUUUUCGUUCUAGCCCGAAAUGUGGGGUGUUACAUUAUCUCCCCCUUGGGAUCAUUCGUCCCCAAAUGAUGGGUAGAAAUGUUGAAUUAUUAAAGGUAUGGAAUAAUGUGGACAUGAUAUGUCUUCUAAGAAGGGAUAUAGCCGAGCUGAAAUAUUUAAACUUCUAUCAUAAAAUUGAAUUCUGAGCUGACUUGACUUUACUUGCUUUAAGGAGCUAAUUCAUGCUGAAAGUUUUGGAUUCACUUGAAGUGAUCAUGAUCCAAUCAUAUAUAUUGAAUUGAGAAGUGAUAACUUAGGCAAGUACAAAUCAUGAGGUAGCAAUACUUAGACUGUACUAGGGUAUUGCACUAUCUGAGCUAAAAUACUUGGAAAAAUUUGAGAUUACGUGCUGAACUCUUAUGAACUGAGUCAUGACUAAAUAGCUGAAUCUGAGACAUGAUGCUUUGACUGAACUGAAUUCGCAACUUACAUGGAUGGAAAAGAUUAUCUCUUGGGAUGGUUAUACUCCUGAGACUUUGGAUAGUAGGACUGGGUGAAAAGAUGGAAAACCACUGUAACUUAUCUGCCUGACUGUUAAACUGAAUUACUGGAUAUACAGAAUGAAUUAUGAUCGAACGUUAUACUUCACUGGAAUAUCUCUUCAACACGCUUUCUAAAGAAGUUCUAGUAGCAUUAGGGAGCAAAAAAUCUUGGGCAUGAGUUACACAAGACAUCCAACUAAGGAAUCACAACAAUGACACUACUCUAUAGCAUGUAAUAUAGAUAUAUAACUCAUAAACUAGGAUAGAAUUACCAGACCUUAGGAAAUACAAUUUCUUACUUUCCAGCUUAGCACACUUCCCGAAUACUCCCUUAACUAUACUAUUCCCCUUAAAUACCAUGCUCAAUAGAUUCAACUUAAAAUUCUCAUAUGGGCAUUGAUAAAUCGUUCUACUAAUGUCUAAAGUGACUUAAAUCCUCUCACCAUGAUCUCUCCUAACUCCAAACCACAAAAUACAACAUGCCGCACAACGAUACUUAUUUUGUAACACCCCACAUUUCGGGCUAGAACGUAAACCGUUAUUCUUUCACAUAGAGGAUGCAAAAUUUAUUAAUCCUAUGCAAAUGUAGUGGGUAAUCAAUUAUGUAGCGUGUGAAUCUAUUUGAACAUGAAUUGAGAUCGUAGAAGUCCCUUAACUCAAAGACGGGUUGAAAACUUUCCUAUCGUUCAAGUUUUAGUGAAUGUUGAAACUUGGGUAAACUUCAAUCGAUAAUAACUCAUUAUAUAUGACGAACUGGGUGGUCUACUAUAUAUCAAAUGAAAGAUCUUCGAAUUAGCUUACCAUCGAUACCAAAUUCUCCUAAGACGGACACUCGGUGAAGAAGUUAGAACAUUUUUAGUGUCAACAUUCCCGUUUGACUGGCCACUGCGUCGCGAUGAGCCUUAAAUUGACAAUUGUCAAUUCUAGUAGUUCAUUGCGAUUUUCAGCGCAUCACGGUGAAGCCUUAUACGGCAUUCCAGUCCCAGAUUUUAAAUUCUGAGGUCAAACUAGAUAUUUCUCAUGGCCCCAAACCCAUCCAAACACGGGAUUUAAUCCCAAAUACACCUAAAAUACAUACACUUUCACCAAAAUUCAUCAAGAACGCUCUCUAGGAUUUCAAAAAAGAAUCCCAAAUAAUUCAAGAUUCAACCGUGAGUUUUUGAAGAUAAUUAGAGAUUUGGAAUCCCCAAUCCGUAAGAUUCAAGAAUCAUUCAUCAUUCUCCGAAAUAGAGGUACAUGGGGUUGUCCUAAAUUUUAUGGGCAUGUAUUCAGAAAGGAAUUUACCUAAGACUUUAAAUUUAUACAAGUAUAUAUAUGUUUUUACAAAUGGGGGUUUUCAAUUGAUACAAAUAAUAUGUUUUGAUAUAUGAUUUCGAAAGAAUUAUUGAGAUAUCAUGGGGUUGUUUGUUUGAAUGUAUUUAAAUAGUUGAAUUGUGAACAUGUGACCCGAAAUUUCAAAAGGGUGUGAUGUACAUGAGUUGUGAAUUUUCUAAAUUCCCCAUGAUAAUAUUUAUACCCCAUAUUAUACCAGUGUUAAACUAUUGAGAGCAUGAGUUUUACAACUGAUAUGACAUUACUCAUAAAUGAUUAAAAUUCUUGAAUAAUUGCAUGUUGAGAACCAUGAUGUGUGUGUUUUAAUGGUGUGAAAGUCAUACAUAUGUGCAUGUGGUAAAUGGUAUGAGAAGUUAGAAAGUUAAUGUGAUAUUGAUGACUUGCAAGUUGGGUAUGACGAUACCCUGCAGAGUAUGACAUGUGAUUGAUUAAAAUGAGUUUCAUGCAUUGAUUUUGUGAGAUAGGUGGUUACUCGAAGAAAGCACGAGUCAAAUGACUCUACGCUGAAAACCGUGUUUGCCGACUCGGGAACUUGGUACCCUGCUGUGUGAUCUUGUGUACCUGACAUUAUGUCAUCCCAAAUUGGGACUAUAGUUAGGAGCCCUGCGUUGUGAUCUUGUGCACUACCAUACUUGAUUGGGUCGAUACACCCUGCUGUGUGAUCUUGUGUGUCCUUCCCUCACUUAUACUCUAAUCUCGGCGGCAAUCGAGAUUUGACAAUUGGUGAAAAUGUGAAAUUGUAGGGUGUACCACCUAGCUCAGACGUGUUGCAUUAUUGUUGAAAAAUCAGUAUACUAUGCCCAUGUAUUUUCGAAAUCAUUUUACAAUAAUGUGUUUUAUAACAGCUCUCAUUUAGUUUAUAUAAAAAUCUCUACUUUGUUUUGGAUUACUCUGCAUACCAGUACUUUGUAUUGACCCUCUUCCCUCCCAGGUUCGGAGGCACAGUCUAGGGGUCCAGAUAAUCAGUAGAUUCUUCAGACAGAUUUGCAGAGUCAAGUGGUGAGCCUUCUAUGUUCCGGAAGGCCUGAUAUCUGUCAGUUUAUUUAUCAUUUAAUAGUUUAGGGUCUACUAGGGGCCUUGUCCCAAUUUUCAGACAGUUGUUUAUUUUAGUUAUGUAGUAGAGAUUUCGCAAACGGUUUUCAGAUGUCGAUAGAUGUUGUGGGCAUUAUUUUCCAUUAUUGAUUUCAUUAGACUCGUGACUAUGUUUCCGUAAUAUUUUGUAUCUUUCGCAUUUCUUUUUAUCAUAUGAAUUAUGUGCAUGAUUACCAGAUAGAUAGGGGUGUUUCGGGCCUUCAUGGUUCGAAAUGCUCGUCACGGCCAGGGCCCCAGUUCGGGUCGUGACAUGUCUAAACCAUAUGAUUCAGUCUUCUAUAUCUUUUUAGAGAUCACACCCUAAACAUAACGUGCCUUACCUCUUCAAUGAUGACUAACUCUGAACUCUUACUAUGGAUUUACUAGCACAUAUUACGUUCCUCCACUUAAAUCCCAACAUGUCAUUCAAGCCUAUCUUUAUAACCACAUAUGAACUUCAAGGCAAACACUCGUAAAUACAUACUUCACAUAGUCUCUAAACCAUUGUCAAUAUAACUCCCACGCGCUAUCCCAAGAACAUACACACACAAAUUUCCACUAACCAUCAUAUGUAUCAAAGACUUGGCCCCAAAUCUUACUUCACACUUAUGGUCUUGUCUAAGACAAACAUACAAUGAUCUUCCAUCAAUAAGAAACAUUUACUCAUCACCACUAUCAUCACAUAAGGAGAAGUCACUAAAGGUUAAAACAUAAGACCUUGAAGCAUGGAAGGAUAUUAUACGAGACUUGACACUUAACUGAGGCCUGAGGAAUAACAAAUCAACAUCAGGAGUUCAUCAAAGUGAUCUGAAUUGGGGGCAUACAUAGCUAUAAGCUGAAUUUCACCCAUCUUUAGGAGUAUACCAUGAGUUAUGGGAACUGAGCACACUAUAAAGCAUGAAUACAUGAGUCAUGAGCUGUAUGACCUCAAUUUGGAGUUCAUAACAUAUGGAAUGUGAUUUCGACUACUGAAUGAAUUGGAACUCCUCAUUUUGGAACAGGAAGAGCACGUGAUUCUCUAUCAUAUACAUGAACAUGAACUAUGAUCAUGGAACUGAAACAUAAGGCAUGAGUAAGUAUUGGGAUAACUGAAAAAAAUACUGAGAUAAGAAUGGGUUGACCCUCACCCUUACUUCCUGAUGUUCUAUAUCAUACUGACAUCACUACUAGAGUCUGAGAUCCUGACUUGGUUAUUUGUUCUAUCAUCUCCUCCUUAACUUCAAGCCAUCAUCUUAAGUUUGAGAGAUCCCUUACUAGACUCUAAUUGAACUACACUUACUGCACUCUAGGGUCUGAAAAAAUGACCAUACACACGUAUCAUAGAACUUAACCUGAAUGACUACACAUGACAGUGGAAAACCCACUGUUAAUAAUACCUUCUAAUAUGCACUCAAUCUUUCUAUAUCCCCAAUAGCCAAUCACAUAAUACUUGAACACUUACUAUCUUUGAAUCCUCGUGAGUAUCCCCAUAGUAGGAGUGCACACCCUAUAGCACUUCAACUCUUAUUUCUGUAGGUUCAACCUUCAAAAAUUCAAAGUUAGAUUCUAACACUUAACAUGGAUAUCACCAAGACCUUGAUAAAAUACUACUAGUCUUUCUCUACCUCUAUGGCCAUCAACCUGUUCAAACUUAAUGUCUAGUUCUAAACAUGAUUUACAACCCAAUUUUACACACAAUUCUCACUUGGAAACUAUGAAGUAAAACAUCAAUAAACAUUAUUACACUAGAACUCCAUAACAAUAAUAAUCGAUCAUAAUCAUAUGGCCUAUCCUAUUCACAAUCCGUUAACACAUCCUCCUUCUAUACACCAUUACUAUCUACCCUUUUUAUGCAGCUAAACUUAGUCUAUAACUCUAUAAGUUUCAACUAAACUCCUUCUUGCAACUAAACUACCCAAAAUUCUGGGUGUUACAAGCCCAGUGAAAUAUCUGCACUAUUGAUCCUUUGUACAUGCAUCCUGCUGAAAGUGUUGGUUUGACCUUGCUCCCUACUGUGUUUGAUGGCACUGGUUAUCGCUCUUGGAGGUGGGGAAUACUUUAAGCACUCUUUGUUAAGAACAAGAUGGAUUUUGUCAAUAGAAAGUCGACGCGGCUGGCUGAGGACUCUCCAACCUUUAGUCAGUAGGAACGAUGUGAUAACAUGGUAACCUCUUGGAUUUUAAACUCCCUUUCACAUGAUUUGGCAAAUAGCCUUCAGUAUGUGAAUGAUGAAAGAGAAUUUUGGUGAGAAUUAGAGGAUCGAUAUGACCAAACUAAUGGUGCCAAGUUGUACCAAUUACAAAAGAAGAUCAAUAAUCUCACACAGGGAAAUAUGGACAUCACUACGUACUAUACUAAGUUGAAGAAGCUCUAGGAGGAAUUCAACACUCUCAACUCACACACAAUCUGCAGUUGCCAAUGCACUUGUGGUGCUAAACUUAAUCUACUUAAGGUUGAACAAGAUAGACGUUUGAUUUAAUUUCUGAUGGGGCUCAAUAAGGUGUUUAUUCCUGUGCGUGGAAAUAUUUUGAUGAUGACCCCCUUACCAAAUCUAGCUCAGUUUUUUUCCAUCCUUAUUCAAGAAGAAAAGCAAAGGGAGGUCACCCCUAGGCUACAUUUGGAUUUAGCCUCCACUUCUCUGAACACACAGGUAGCAGCAGCACAUGCAGGUUUUCAAACCAAUUACCAGGUCAAUCAAGGACCAAGUCAUUAUAAUCGACAACCCAAUUCCAUCAAACUACCUUACAGGCCAAAUUCAUCUAACACACCUUAUCAUUCUGGGAAUCCUGCUGGAUUUGGUGGGCAAAGGACACACUUUUUGAACCCCAAACCUUUUACUUUCUGUGAUUACUGUAAGAAGACUGGUCAUACUGAGAGAAAAUUCUAUAUAUUGCAUGGAUUUCCUCACGAUUUCAAGUUUACUAAAGGCAAAAAUUCAGUUUUUGUCUCUAAUGUUCAUGGUGGUUAUCUUGAGAAUGCUGAUGGAGAUCGCAAUGGAAACUAGAUGAUUGGGAAAGAUGCUUAUAGAUUGAGUAAGGAUCAAUAUGACAAGUUGAUCAACCUACUAAAUCAUUUUCAACUAGAGAAUUCUAGACAUGACUUAAACAUUCUCACUGGUAGAGCAGUAAACUUUGCAGGUAUCAUUGCUUGCCACUCUUCUAUGACUAAGAUUGGUACACUAACUUGUAAUUGUAAUCCAUUGUCCGCUAAAUCUUGGAUCCUAGACUCUGGAUCAUCUCACCACAUGGAUUACAAUAGAGCACUAUUAACCAAUACUAGAAUUCUACCUUAUCCUUCCUUAUAACCUUACCAAAUGGGUAUAAAGUCAAAGUUACGAAAAUUGGUAAUGUAUUUCUCAAUACCGCUUUGUAUUUGCACAUAGUGUUGUAUGUACCUAGCUUUAAGUUCAAUCUUAUUUCAAUUCACUGUUUGACUAUGCGUUUACAUAGCACUAUUAGCUUUAGCAAUUUUUCAUGCAUCUUGCAGGCCCCUUCACUGAAGAGGCCUCUGGAGAUCGGUAGCGUCAGAAAUGGCCUGUAUUACCUUUGCUCAAGAUGUCAAAACAAAGGUUCAAGUUUAGCAUCUCCAACUUCUUACAAUUCCUGCAAUAUGUCUCUUUCUACAUCCAGUUUGUUUGAUUCUUCAUCAAGUGUUGUUGCGUGUAAUAAGCAAGUUUCAUUUGUUUUAUCUCCUUUUCCUUUAGAUAUUUUAAAUAUGCCAUACUUCAUCAAUAAAGGAACUUGUUCUAACCCUGAAUCUUAUCUACUCUCUGCAUUUCAUAAUUACAGUAAUUAUCUUUUAUGGUAUUUGAGGUUGGGACAUGUACCCUUUGCCAAAAUGAAAACUAUCCCACCCUUUACCUUCAUUGGAAGCUCAAUAACCCUUUGCUUGCAACAUUUUCCCCAUGGCAAGGCAAUCUAGAUUGCAUUUUCCGCAGAAAACAACUAGUACAUCUAAAAAUUUUGAACUAUUACAUAUUGACCUAUGGGGGUCCAUAUCACAUUAGCACUCAUGAUAAUUAUAAGUAUUUUGUUACCAUGUUUGAUGAAUAUAGUAGAUCAACUUGGACUCAUUUAAUCAGCAACAAGAGUAAUACUCUUCAAGUUAUCAAAUCUUUUAUUUCCCUUAUAGAGAAUCAAUUUUCUACCACCAUUAAAAUCAUAAGGACUGAUAAUGGUUUGGAAUUUGUUAAUGCUGAAACACAUAAUUUUUUACAAUCCAAAGGUAUCAUUCACCAAGCAAUAUGUCCCUAUACACCACAACAAAAUGGUGUUGUGGAAAGAAAACACAAGUACUUGCUUGAAACAGCAAGAACACUAUUAUAUCAAUCCAAAUUACCUCUUAAAUACUGGGGGGAGUGUCUCUUGACUGCAGCCUAUCUGAUAAAUAGACUACCCACUACCUUUCUAAAAAAUAAAUGUCCUUAUGAGUUGCUCUACCAAAAGAAACCUACUUACAACCAUCUUAAGGCCUUUGGAUGUCUUUGCUUUCCCACAAGCUUGGGAACACGCAAAACUAAAUUUGAACCAAGGGCUACGCCACAUAUUUUCCUGGGAUAUCCUUUUGGUAUAAAGGGGUACAAAGUCCUUGACUUACAAACCAAAAGAUUACAUGCAUCACGAGAUGUGUUGUUUCAUGAGCAUAUAUUUCCUUUCCAAAUGUCACCUACUAAUUCUAAUUCUACCUUUCCUUCCAUUCUAUAUUUAAUCAACUCUCAUUUUGAUCAUGUGCAUAACACUGCCAUACACCAUACUGAUGCAUCUCAGUUGUACACCAGAGACACUACUGAUAACGCUCAAUCUACAGCUCUCGUGGGAGUGUAAAGCGGUCGUUAGCAAAUAUAGAACCCAACCUGGGUUGGGUAUCGAUCCCACAGAGAAUAGCUUGGCCAACAAGCAAGAGAAAUUACUAGACUUUUAGUGCAAGUCUCGUAGAAAAGGGGGGAUUGUAGUAUGUAACCAAAACAAGAAUGUAAGAACUGAAAAUAGCAAAAUAAAGAGAGAUUGUCACGUGUGUUGUAAACAAUGAGAAUUGAGGCGUUGGGGUUAUGUCCACCUUCUGAGGUAUACGUCUCUAUUGGCUAUGAGUGUGUAGAGUCUUGACAUGUAAUUGCUUAUAGAGAAUUGUAGUCGAUGGUAAAUCCAAGCGUCUCUCGACCUAAACAAGGACUAUUUCACUUUAACUCUCUCGAGCUUAAAGCGUGACUAACGGUACGAAUUCUCCAAGAAGUUAGUCCAGGUACGGCACUAGCUUUUUAAUAGGAAAGGGUGUCCUACUACCUUGACAUUAUCUCUUUUCCAGACAAAUAACUUUUCUCUCGAACAAGUCAGAUGUUAGACUGGCGUUGGUCUAUGCGUCUUCUUUUCUAGACAAAUAACCUUUCUCUCGAACAGGUUAGAUGUUAGAAUGGCGUGUUCUUGUGUUUGAACCGCAAAGAAUGUAGAUUUAAGAUGAAGAGAAUAAUGAUAUAAGCAAUAUACUUGUCUUGAACUCACAAACUCAUAGCUAUAGAUAGUAACUCAUUCGGCUUCCAUAACCCCAACUAAGAGAUUUAGUUACCCAUGAAUGCGAAGGAUAUCACGUUUUGCAUGGUGGAUGGCGUGAAUAGUAGGUGUUUGGCGUGUGGUUUUAGUGAUUCCGUAGCAAGUAACGAUUCUCUUGUUGUGGAAUUUAAGAGUAGAAGAAUGAAGAAUUGAGAAUGGGUUGUAGGAAGAUGUCUUAAUUGUAAGGAGAUGAAUGAAUUGUCAGAAUGUCUCCCUUCUUGAAAAUCUCUAACAUGAUAGGGUAUUUAUAAUACUCCUAUCCUACUCCUACUAAACUAAUAAAAUAAAUAACCAAAUCCUAAUAUACUAAUGAAAUCCUUGACCCAAUUGUACUAGGGUAAGGUUACAAAAUUAUAAUCCAAAUAGAAUGAUGAAACACAUAACCUAAUUGCACUAGGUUAAUGUAUUAUGGCAAAAAUCCAGCUUUGUGUCUGUAAGUCCCAAAGUCUUCAGAAAUGCUGUUUUAGCCCGGGACAGAUUUUCCAUGCAGCAGAUUUAGUCCUUUAUGCGUCCAGCUCCUUUCCAUCUCGUUUGUGAGCUUUCUUUUGCGUCAAGUAAGCCAUAAAUUGCUGUAUUUUGCAUCAUUUAUACCUGAAACUUUCCUAAUCACAUUUGUUAGCUCAUUUACAGGAAAAAGGACUAAAAGUGUACGAAAUAGAUAAUUAGUUCUCGAAACUAGGCUAAAAUAUGGGCAAAAUAUAUUGAUAUAGGCGCGUAAUUUCGCCUAUCAUCAACACCCCACACUUAGAGCUUUGUUCGUCCUCGAACAACAUAUCAUGUCCUUCUAAGCAUUGACUUAAGGUUUUUACAGAAACAACACAAAACAUUCUUCAAGACAAGCACAACAAUUAUCAACGAAGAGUAGCUUUCCGAUUAUAAGUAGAAACAAUUUAACCUCAAGCAUAGACUCGUGAUGGUGAUCAACUCGCAUGCAAACGUUUAAGGUACAUAGAAUCAUAUACAACUAUCCAAAACUCAUCAACCAUGUGUGUCUCACAAUAUAGUACCCAUAAUCACUCACAAGUAUAGCAUAUUUUUCAAACAUGGGCAGCAAAGUAUCCUUGCGCUCACUCUCACAAAGAAUUCAUAUGUAGCAGCUAAUGACCAUAGGCUUGCCCUUAAUGUAGUACUCCACUAAAUGUCGGAAUGUUAAGGUUAGGAUCAAGUAGGUCUUUUGAUGGUUGUAAUGUAGGCUAAGGGACGGGUAGGAUCAACUAUUUUGGCCAGAAAUAGUGACUAAGUUCCUAAGCACUUUAAUACAUCACAUUGUAUUAUUGACACUUUUUUGUAGCACCCUUGUUCUCCUCUUUUGUUUUUCAAUUUUAAAGCACAACUCACUUUUCAGCUUUCUUUUCCUUUUUCUUCUCACAACAUACCUCUUAUGAUAGCACUUUCUUUUUCAUAACAUAUUCAAGCACCAUUACAAUUUAAAGCAUCAUACUCAACCAAUUUCCUCUUAUGUUGUCACAUGACUUUUUCACUUUAAAGCACUUAGGAAUUUGGAUCAAAUUACGGUCUUGAAAAAAAAAUGAAUUAGGCUUACAUACAAGGUUGUCAAAGAAAUAGGCUAAAGGCUCAAAAGGGUUUAACUAGGAUGAUGUCCAUGGGUAGGUAAAACUGAAGGUAAACAAAUAUAGGUUGCCAAAGAAAUGCCUAAAUCAUAUCCUAAACUUACACUCCUUAUUUUCGCUUUGCAUACAUACCAGGCAAGUUCUAGCAUCAGCCACAUACAUAGAAUAUACUAUUAUCUCACACACACAAGGCACAUGGUCGACUUGAUUGGUAGCAAUAUAGACUCUCAACCCAACAAGUGAAGGAAUUGAAUCACACACUAUCACAUAAUGAGUCACAACUAGAGCCUAAAUGUCUCAAUAGUCACAAUUGUAAUACAUACUAUUGUUAUAAUCUCAUGCUGCCUAUUAAAAUAAUUUCAUGCGAGGCUAGAAAAAUUUUAACUACUAAAAACUAAAAAAAAAACGUCACACGAAAAAAAUCACAAAAAAAAAUCGGACUCAAAACAAAAUAAAUAAAACAAAAUAAACAAGCAAACAUACAAAUAUAGCAUGCAGAUUCUGCCGACACCCCACACUUAGACUAGACACUGCCCUCAGUGGAAAAUAAAGUCGAAGAACCUGAUUAGUCGGACUCUUCCUCAAUGUCAUACCCCCUUCGUUCGAGUCAUCGUAAGAGUCAUCGUCAGAGUUCUCCUCAGCAUCAGAAUCAGGCAAGCGUCUAUCAUCAUCAGUUGGCACGUCAUCAUCAAGAGGUUCCUCGAAAUAUACUCCCACUCCACACAUCUCCCGGGCAUGUCUGUUCAUUGGGUAGUCGUGGUCCAGCUGUUGGAGCUCUUCAGCAGUUGGAAUACGUCCACCACUCAUCAUAGUGAAUCUCGUCAUGCCAUAGAGAUGACGGAAGAAACUCUCGUCACGAGCAUGUCUCUCCGCAGUGGUAAGGUUGACUCCAUGCGUUGUUUCAGCAUCUUUGACCUUGGUGAGGUCAACCUUCUUUGGGGUAUGUGGGAGUUUGUGGUCAGCUGGUUCCUCCUCUAUAUCCUCCUUCCGCAACAUUGCUGUCAACAAAUUGCCGAAUGUGAAAUAGGACCAUUCACAUUCACAUCAGUCUGGCUUUCCUCAUGGUGGAUCGAAUGAUUGCCCCAAAGUUGAUAGGGACAUUCGUCAUUAAUGAAUAAACCAGGCACACUCUAUCUCUCGAUAUCUUUGUGUAUUGCGUCCCAGGAAUGAGGCAUGAGUUGACAAUGCGCAUCCAGAUUCUUGCUUCCCUAUUUAGUGGAGCAUAGGGGAAUGUGUUGUGACGGCCUGUUUCCUUAUGUCUGCCCCAUCUCGCCAUCGAUCUGCUUCCACAAAGCGUGUGUCUUAUAGCUCUGUAAGGAGGUCUGCUGUACAGCUCUUUGUAUGGUGCAGUGUCGACCGAAGGUAGGCCUAGAAACGAGUUGAUCCAAUCCGCUGUAAGCUGUAACACUUGGCCCCGAAUUUUGACUUCGUUGCCUGUUGUGUUUGGCGACCAGUUGGCAUAAAACUCUCUUGUCAAGUCAAGAUUGCACUCUCCCAUGUCACGGAAGAUGAAAUCCAGCUUCAAAGCCAUAAUCUUAGCCAACAUUUGCGGCUCCUUCUUUGCUAAGGUCUCCUUAUUGAUUAAGUCGACGUGCACAUAUUUCUUUUCUUUGUUGCUGCUGUACCAUGCCUUGGCUUCUUCCUCAAGAACCCAUUUGAUUCCGAACAUUCUGCGUGGUAGGUGUGCGGAAGAUGAUUCGCCUUGGUCUUUUCGGCUUCUCUUUUUGUCCUUGCGGGUUGUGGUAGCCUUCUCCUUGCCUUGCCUUGCUUUCGGUGCCAUUGUACCGCCUUUACCAUACAACGCGACCAAAUCGUCAAUUGAAAUCAAUCUCCUCGUUGCAUACUUCUUACACCUAUAUUUGCUCAAACAAAUGAAAACGAUUAGUACGAUGGGUUGCCUCCCACCAAGCGCCUUAGUUUUGGUCGUGGCACGACUCUUAUUUUUGGAUUUUCAUUUAUCAAAAAGAAAAAAUACUAAAACGACAAAACGAUAAAACAAUAAAACGAAGGGUUGCCUCCCAUCUAGCGCCUUAUUUAUUGUCGUGGCUCGACGUAGUAAUCUCGAGUACUUAGACUUCGUCGAGAUAAGUGAUGGCCAUGUCAUUUAUCGAGUCAAGAGGACCGAUAUAUGGCUUAACACGUUGGCCAUUCACCUUGAAGAUAACACCCUCAUUAUUUUCCAAUUCGACUACUCCAAACGAGUAGACGUGGGUGACUUUAAAUGGACCAGACCACUUUGAUUUUAACUUACCUGGGAAGAGCUUGAAUCUGGAGUUAAAGAGUAGCACCAUGUCACCUUUUUGGAAGUGUCGUCGAACAAUCCGCUGAUCGUGAUACUUCUUCAUCCGCUCCUUGUAUAAAUCUGAUCUUUCAUAAGCAUGGAGACGGAAUUCAUCUAGCUCGUUCAGCUGCUCCAACCUCAGGUUCUUCACAUCAUCCCAAUUCAGAUUCAAGUGCUUCAAUGCCCAUAAUGCCUUGUAUUCAAGCUCGAUGGGUAGAUGACAAGCCUUCCCAUAAACUAGCUGAUAAGGUGACAUGCCAAUGGGUGUCUUGAAUGCAGUCCUAUACGCCCAUAGUGCAUCAUCUAGCUUCCGAGACCAAUCCUUCCGAUUCGCAUUGACCGUCUUGGCAAGGAUUUGCUUGAUCUCCCGAUUGGAAACCUCUACUUGUCCACUAGUUUGGGGAUGAUAAGGCGUAGCUACCUUGUGUUGCUUGACUCCAUACUUGGCCAAUACAGAUUUGAAUAGCUUGUUGCAGAAGUGAGAUCCUCCAUCACUUAUGAUAGUACGAGGUACCCCAAAGCGAGAGAAGAUAUUCUUCUUUAAAAACGCUACAACACGCUUUCCUUCAUUAUCGGCCAAUGCUACAGCUUCAACCCAUUUCGACACAUAAUCCACAGCAACCAAGAUGUACUUCAUUCCAAACGAAUUUACGAAUGGUCCCAUGAAAUCAAUACCCCAUACAUCAAAGAGUUCUACCUCCAGGAUUGUGGACAUGGGCAUUUCAUGGUGUUUUGAAAUAACACCUUGACGUUGGCAUUGGUCACACCUUCUCACAUAGUCGUGUGCAUCUCUGAAUAUUGUAGGCCAAUAAUAACCACUUUGCAAGACUUUUCUUGCUGUUCGAUUACCCGCAUGAUGUCCUCCAACUUGCGAAGUGUGGCAUGCUUCUAAUAUAGUGGGCACUUCGUCAUGGGAUAUACAUCGUCGAAUGAUACCAUCCGCACAUCUUCGAAACAAAUAAGGCUCAUCCCAAUAAUAGUGCUGAACGUCAUGCAUAAACUUCCUCCUCUGGUGGUAAGAUAAAUUUGUAGGUAACACAUUACUCACCACGAAAUUCGCAAAGUCGGCAUACCAUGGUAAGUCUUCUAUUGUUGUCGCUAAUAUCUCCUCGUCAGGGAAUGCAUCGCCAAUCUGAUUUUCUGAUUGCGCCACAUACUCAUUCUCAAGUCUAGAUAGGUGAUCAGCCACUUGGUUCUCGCAACCUCUUCUAUCUUUGACUUCGAAAUCAAACUCUUGCAGCAGCAACACCCAUCGAAUCAGCCUUGGUUUUGCAUCCUUCUUUGUCAUUAGAUACCUAAGAGCUGCAUGGUCUGUAUGAACGAUCACUUUAGUACCUAAUAGGUAGGCGCGGAACUUCUCAAACGCAUACACAACCGCUAAUAGCUCUUGUUCAGUGACGGUGUAGUUCCUUUGGGCUUCAUUGAGGACCUUACUCGCAUAGUAGAUAGGAUGAAAUAAUUUCUCCUUUCUCUGUCCAAGAACAGCACCAACGGCUACACCACUAGCAUCACACAUGACUUCGAACGGGAGCGUCCAAUCUGGUGUUACCAUGAUAGGGGCUUCAACGAGUUUUUCUUUAAGGCAUUCAAAUGCCUUUAAGCAAUCAUCAUUAAAGUCAAACUUCGCAUCUUUCUCCAAUAGCUUGCAUAAUGGACUAGAAAUUUUGGAGAAGUCUUUGAUGAAUCUACGAUAAAACCCAGCAUGGCCAAGAAAACUACGAACUCCCUUCACCGAAAUUGGAGGUGGUAGCUUCUCAAUUACCUCUAUUUUGGCGCGAUCAACCUCUAUUCCUUUUUCGGAGAUCUUGUGCCCAAGAACAAUUCCUUCUUUUACCAUGAAGUGGCACUUCUCCCAAUUCAGCACAAGGUUGAACUCUACACAUCUUUGUAAUGCCAUGCUUAAAUUCACCAAACAUGCUUCGAAAGACUCCCCAACAACUGAAAAGUCGUCCAUAAAUACCUCCAAAGUGUCUUCUACCAUAUCAGAGAAAAUAGACAUCAUACAUCGCUGAAAGGUGGCUGGUGCAUUACAUAACCCGAAUGGCAUACGUUUGAAGGCAAACGUACCAUAUGGGCAUGUAAACGUUGUCUUCUCUUGGUCUUCUGGUGCAAUAAAAAUCUGAUUAUAACCUGAAUAACCAUCAAGAAAGCAAAACCAUCCUUUUCCCGCUAAUCGAUCUAGCAUUUGGUCCAUAAAUGGCAUGGGGAAGUGAUCCUUGAGAGUCCAAGAAUUCAGCUUGCGGUAGUCCAUGCAUACUCUCCAUCCAGUGACGGGCCUGAGUGGAAUAAGCUCAUUCUUUGCAUUCGCAACCACCGUCAUACCUCCUUUCUUGGGAACACAUUGUACUGGGCUUACCCAUGUACUAUCAGAAAUAGGAUACACAACUCCUGCGUCUAACCACUUGAUAAUCUCCUUCUUCACCACCUCUUGCAUUGGUGGGUUUAGACGUCUUUGGUGUUCGAUGGUGGGUGUGCACUUUUCUUGGAGCUGAAUUUUAUGAGUGCAAAUUCCAGGUGGAAUACCAAGGAUAUCCGCAAUGGUCCAUCCAAUAGCUCUAAUAUACUUGCGUAAAAUUGCAAUAAGAGCUGCAACUUGUUGCUCACCUAAAUCGGCUGCCACUAUGACUGGAAGAGUGUUUCCGCUUCCUAAGAAUGCAUACUUCAAAUGGCUUGGCAGCUCCUUUAAUUCUAAUGUGGGUGGUUCUUCAAUAGAUGGCUUAGCUGGUGGUGUGGGUCGAUUCUUGAGAUCAAGAUCCAGCUUCUUAGGAGGAUAGCGAUAUGCUCCUAAUCCCGAUAGAGCACAAAUAUCAUCUUCAGAAAUUUCAGCAUCAUCAUCAUCUUCUUCCAUGAGCAAAACCUCCAAAGGAUCAUCAAGAAUUUGUUCUUCAGCAAGUAACUCAUCCUCGUCAUCAACGACAACAUCAGUCACAGAAAAUACACUUAGAUCUUUGGGUUGCUUCAUUGAUUUGCAAACAUCAAAGCGCACCACUUCAUCAUUUAUUCGGAAUGAAAGUUCAUUAGCUCUCAAAUCUAUGAGCACACUUCCCGUAGCAAGGAAAGGGCGUCCCAAGAUUAUGGGAACCUCUGAAUCUGCUUCGCAAUCCAAGAUGACAAAGUCUGCUGGAAAUAUGAAUGAAGAUACCUUCACCAAGACAUCGCAUAGAAUACCAACCGGUCGUUUUACCGACCUAUCCGCCAUAACAAGCUUCAUAUUAGUUGGUGUAGGAUCUCCCAACCCCAACUUCUUGUAGAUUGAUAAUGGCAUCAAGUUGAUGCUGGCUCCUAAGUCACAUAAUGCUUUAGCAAAGUCCAAAGAUCCGACGGUGCAAGGAAUAGUGAAAGCUCCGGGGUCGGCCUUCUUCUGAACUAUGGAUCGGGUAGCUAUUGCACUACAAUGAUGCACAUCUUCUUUCAGCUCAUAGCUUGCUGCCCUCUUCUUAGUCAAAAGAUCUUUCAUAAACUUCGCAUACCCAGGCAUUUGUUCAAGUGCCUCUACCAAUGGGACAUUAAUAGUCAGCUGCUUCAAGAUGGUCAUGAACUUGCUGAACUUAGUGUCAUCGGCCGCCUUCUUCAGUCUUUGUGGAAAAGGUGGUGGUGGGUAUGGAAGUGUUCUUUCCAUGGCUUUCUUCUCCUCUUGCUUCCGUUUAUUACUUUUUUCAGGCUGCACGUCACUAGGCAACACGUCCUUGACGUUGGAAGUGGAUAUUGCGGCGUCUUCCCUAGUGGCGUCACUAGGUGUGGCGGUUGUGUCUGCUGUUCUGUCAACUAUUUGCUUGCCUUCUGCUGAAGUUUCCAGCACCUUACCACUCCUCGUAGUGAUGGCCAUGCAUGACCCAUCAGUCCUUGGAUUUUGCACCGUAUCGCUAGGCAAGGUGCCGGCUUUUCUUUGGUUGAGUGUUGCUGAAAGUUGACUGAAUUGCUGCUCUAGUUGCUUGAUAGAAGUGGAAUGAGAAUCAACUAAUUGCUUCAUGGAGGCCAAAUCGUCAAUCACCUCCUUAACUCCCGCAUUCGUCGCUUCCACUCCUUUCAAUAACUUAGCCAUCAUGUCUUCCAUAGAAUUAGAUGUGGUGGUAUCACGUCUACCAGGGGGAACGUACAAACCACUGUUUUCAUUAUUUUUCUUCCAACUACCUUGGUCUUUACCUCCAGAUUUGUCAUAAUAGUUCCGACCUUGGUUUCCUUGGGCAUUCCCACGGAAACCCCCCUGAUUGUUCAAGUAGUUGGCCUCCUCUUCUGAAUCAGAUUCGUCUCUUCCUUUUGACGCAAUAGAUUUCACUUUUUCAGUCUUCCCUAAUAGAUGCUUUGUAAGAAGAUCCAUUUGGGUUUUCAUGUGCGCCAUAUCUUGAUCACGUUCUUCUUCUCUCCUUCUUUGAUCUGCAGACAUGCCAAUAGAUAAAGUGGGGCUUGCUACCUCAGAAUCCCUGGUAUGCCAAGCUCUACUUUGUUUCGUCAUACGAUCUAGCAUGUUGCUUGCUUGACCAAAGGUGAGGUCCAUAAAAGAACCUCCAGCUGCGUUGUCCACCACUGGUUUAGUUACUGAAUUCAAGGCUCUAUAUAAGAUCUCCAUGAGGUGAACAUUAGUCAUGUGAUGGUUUGGGCAUCUCGCUAGCUUUGUCUUGAACCUCUCCCAUGUUUCGUGAAGAGCUUCAGAGGGAAGCUGACGAAAGUUGCUGAUUUCAUCUCUCAAUUGAGCCCUCUUGGAUGGCGGAAAGAAUCUUUCUAGGAAAGCGUCUCUCAAUUGCCUCCAAUUUGUAAUAGAAUCAGGAGUCAGCCCAUUCAACCAUAAUGUUGCCUCCCCAGACAGAGACAAUGGAAAUAGACGUAAUCGAAUAGCAUUCUGACCAACUCCAGGAUUGUCAAAAGACUUGCAUGUAGAAAUAAAGUUGAUGAGAUGCAUAUUCGGAUCAUCGCCUGCUAGUCCACCAAAUAAUCCCUUGAGUUGCAAUAACUGAAUCAUGGUGCUAGUGAUGUUGAACUUGGCUCCGGGCGCUAAUGGUGGUGGAAUUAUAGCUCCAGUGGCUCCGGCACCAUCAAGAUCAUCAUCAUCAUCGUCGAAAGCUGGUUGCAAAGGUUGGCGAUCAUAUCUGUACCGAGCUUGUCGACCUCGUCUGUUGGUAGGUGUUGCCAUUUCAGCGCCAUGCCUUGGGUUGAUCAACUCGUCAUCUCCUAAAUCUUCAUCGUCAGGAUUUGUUGCUCGUCCAGGAUUAUCAAUGUUUUGUUGUUGGACUUGAGCAGCGGCAAGAGCAGCUAAUCUUGCUUGCUCAUGUUGAGCAGCCAUCCUGUCGAUUUCCGCUUGUGCUUCCAUUCUUCUGAUUCGUUGUGGUUCCGGAUUGAUUGGUAAUAACGGUUGACCAGAACUUCUAGUAUGGGGCAUGCACUAAAAGAAAAACCUGCAAUAAACAAAAACAAAAACUAAACGUAAAAGUACGAGAAUCUUUGACCAAAGGGUCUAGUAAUUUUCACGAACUUGAUUGACACUCGUAUUCCCCGGCAACGGCGCCAAUUUUUGAUAACGCUCAAUCUACAGCUCUCGUGGGAGUGUAAAGCGGUCGUUAGCAAAUAUAGAACCCAACCUGGGUUGGGUAUCGAUCCCACAGAGAAUAGCUUGGCCAACAAGCAAGAAAAAUUACUAGACUUUUAGUGCAAGUCUCGUAGGAAAGGGGGGAUUGUAGUAUGUAACCAAAACAAGAAUGUAAGAACUGAAAAUAGCAAAAUAAAGAGAGAUUGUCACGUGUGUUGUAAACAAUGAGAAUUGAGGCGUUGGGGUUAUGUCCACCUUCUGAGGUAUACGUCUCUAUUGGCUAUGAGUGUGUAGAGUCUUGACAUGUAAUUGCUUAUAGAGAAUUGUAGUCGAUGGUAAAUCCAAGCGUCUCUCGACCUAAACAAGGACUAUUUCACUUUAACUCUCUCGAGCUUAAAGCGUGACUAACGGUACGAAUUCUCCAAGAAGUUAGUCCAGGUACGGCACUAGCUUUUUAAUAGGAAAGGGUGUCCUACUACCUUGACAUUAUCUCUUUUCCAGACAAAUAACUUUUCUCUCGAACAAGUCAGAUGUUAGACUGGCGUUGGUCUAUGCGUCUUCUUUUCUAGACAAAUAACCUUUCUCUCGAACAGGUUAGAUGUUAGAAUGGCGUGUUCUUGUGUUUGAACCGCAAAGAAUGUAGAUUUAAGAUGAAGAGAAUAAUGAUAUAAGCAAUAUACUUGUCUUGAACUCACAAACUCAUAGCUAUAGAUAGUAACUCAUUCGGCUUCCAUAACCCCAACUAAGAGAUUUAGUUACCCAUGAAUGCGAAGGAUAUCACGUUUUGCAUGGUGGAUGGCGUGAAUAGUAGGUGUUUGGCGUGUGGUUUUAGUGAUUCCGUAGCAAGUAACAAUUCUCUUGUUGUGGAAUUUAAGAGUAGAAGAAUGAAGAAUUGAGAAUGGGUUGUAGGAAGAUGUCUUAAUUGUAAGGAGAUGAAUGAAUUGUCAGAAUGUCUCCUCCCCUCCUCUAAAUCUCUAACAUGAUAGGGUAUUUAUAAUACUCCUAUCCUACUCCUACUAAACUAAUAAAAUAAAUAACCAAAUCCUAAUAUACUAAUGAAAUCCUUGACCCAAUUGUACUAGGGUAAGGUUACAAAAUUAUAAUCCAAAUAGAAUGAUGAAACACAUAACCUAAUUGCACUAGGUUAAUGUAUUAUGGCAAAAAUCCAGCUUUGUGUCUGUAAGUCCCAAAGUCUUCAGAAAUGCUGUUUUAGCCCGGGACAGAUUUUCCAUGCAGCAGAUUUAGUCCUUUAUGCGUCCAGCUCCUUUCCAUCUCGUUUGUGAGCUUUCUUUUGCGUCAAGUAAGCCAUAAAUUGCUGUAUUUUGCAUCAUUUAUACCUGAAACUUUCCUAAUCACAUUUGUUAGCUCAUUUACAGGAAAAAGGACUAAAAGUGUACGAAAUAGAUAAUUAGUUCUCGAAACUAGGCUAAAAUAUGGGCAAAAUAUAUUGAUAUAGGCGCGUAAUUUCGCCUAUCAUCAACUACUGAUCCUGUUGUCCAUGAUUUUGUACCCACCAACGAGGAUUCACCAAUGUCUAGUUCUUAUCAAUAAACACAUACUACUCAACAAACAACUACUGACCCACCUUGUUCUGCUCCAGAUACUCUCACUUCUACUCAACCACCAUCACCACCUGUCCUUAGAAGAUUAUCUAGACCACAUAUUCAGCCUACAUACUUGAAAGAAUAUGCCUAUAAAUUACCCAAUCUGUACUACACCUCAACUCUAGCUGUAUUUUUAUCUACCUUAUCACUAGCUACUACCAUCUCUAGCAAUGCUUCAUCAUCACUCUUUAAUCAGGAUAAUUAGCAGAUGGUGAGAAAUACUUUACUUGAUGGUGAACCUUCUUCUUAUAAAGAGGAAACACUACAUCUUUCUUGGCAAACUGCAAUGACACAAGAGUUUGAAGCCCUGCAUGCAAAUCAUACUUGGGAUCUUGUACCACUACCUCCUGACAAAAAGGCUAUAGGUUGUAGAUGGGUAUAUAAGAUUAAACACAAAGUUGAUGGAAGUAUAGAAAGGUACAAAGUUUGACUUGUAGUUAAAGGUUUCACUGGACUAUACUGAGACUUUUUCACCUAUAGUUAAGAUGACUACUGUCAGAGUUUUAUUUAGUUUAGCAGUAAAGAAGAACUGACCUUUGUUCCAAUUAGAUUUCAAUAAUGCCUUUUUGCAUGGUGACCUCAAAGAGGAAGUGUAUAUGGAAAUCCUACCUAGUUUAGUUACACCACGAAAAGGGCUAGUUUGCAAGUUAAGAAGGUCACUCUAUGGCUUGAAACAAGUAAGCAGACAAUGGUAUGACAAGCUGACCAAGUCUUUGUGUUCUAAGGGGUUACACUCAGCUAGUGACUGCUCUCUAUUUUACAAGAAGAAGAACAAGUCCUUGGUCUUUGUUGAUGUGUCUGUUGAUGAUAUAAUUCUUACUACUACUUAUCUGAAAGAAAUUCAACAACUAAAAGUUUUUCUCCAUCACCAAUUCAAAAUCAAAGACUUGGGUAAACUACAUUACUUCUUGGGAUUAGAAAUUCUUUAUAUUGUCAAAGGGAUUCUGGUGUCACAAAGAAAGUUUAUGAAUGAUCUACUAAAAGAGUUUGAUUGUCUGGACUACCCUGUAGUCUCUACUCCACUUGAUCCUACUGAAAGACUACAUGCUGUAGAUCGCAAGCUUCUAUCAGAUCCAGCUUCCUACAGAAAACUAGUUGGAAAAUUAAAUUUUCUUAGUAAUAUAAGGCUAUAUAUUUCUUACAAUAUGUAAUAUUUAAGCCAAUUUAUGUAGGCUCCCAGGGAACCCCAUUACAGAGCUGCAUUACAUGUGUUGAGAUAUCUCAAACCUGACCCUUUUUUUAGGUCUUUUCUUGUCUAAUGAUUCUAAUUAUGUUGUCACUACUCAUUGUGAUUCUGGUUGGCCUACUUGCUCUGAUUCAAGGAGGUCAGUAAAUGGGUACAUAGUGUUUUUAGGUAACACCCCUAUCAGUUAGAAGUCCAAUAAACAACUGACCAUAUCAUUAUCAUCAGUUGAGGCAGAGUACAGAGCCAUUAUAAAGGUGGUGGGAAAACUGGUUUGGAUAGAUAAGCUCCUCACAGAAUUGACAGCUCCUACUUCUAAACCUAUUGCUCUUUUUUGUGACAUCCAAGCUGUUGGAACCUUGAAGUUUUGAUGAAUGACAAUAUGAAUAAAACAAAGUGAUAUGAGUUAAUUUAGUGCAACUGAAAACUUCAACUUACUGAUCGGGGAAUAGAACAAGUUGAAUUUGAUUCAAACACUUGAUGAUAAGAGAAAGUAAGUUGAGAUAAAAAAAAAGGAGUCCUACGUAAAGAAGGAGUUUUACUUCUGAGCAUAUCCUGAAGAGUCCUAUGUGUAGAAGGAGAAAGAUUCUACAGAUUGAAGAUGUCUACGCGAGAUAGGAAACAUAUAAAUUGAAGGAAUCUUUUUUAGAUCAAUGAAGUUUUUGAUGACUGACACAUGAAUGAAAUAUGUUACUUGACCUGGUCCAAGCAUAGGAAGGUAGGUUUCAGAUUUUACUGAUAGAUGCAGACAAAGAUUGCUGAAAGUCAGGAACGAAUGAGAGUUUUGAUUAAAGGAGGAGUUUAAAAUAAAGAAUGACUCUUUGGAGAGCUGUGCUUAAAUAGAAAAUGCAUCAUUCAGAGUAAUUCACGCACUCAAAAAACAGAAAAGCACAAUUGAUAAAUUAACUUCACAAAGUGCUAUUCAAUCACUGAAGAAAUACAUUGAAGAACCAGGUCCUAAGUAAAGAAUCCAGCUAAGAGUUUUAGCUUUGAUUUUUAGAGCUGUUCAUUGUGUUUGAGCUAUUAAUGUAAUAUUAGUUUUAGUGUGUUAUAAACUAAAUUAGGAGAUAGUCUCCGAGUUGGGGAAAACUUAAAGACUUUGGGAAUGUAUACCUUGGGAGGUGUGUGUGCAGUUAGGAAUUAGAGUUUAUAAUUCCUAGUCUUUGAGUUAAAGGAAUUAGCGUUUAUAAUUCCUAAUUGUUGAGAUAUAGGGUUCAGAGUUUAUGUCCUAUUUGUUGGUUACAAGAGUUUUGCAAUCAGUCAUUGUUGAGGCUCAGAGUUAUUUAGUGAAGUUGAGGUUAAAUCCUGUAAAGGUACAGGUCGUGGUUUUUUACACCUUUUGAGUUGGGUGUUUUCCACGUAAAAGUCAUUGUAUUCUUUACUUUCUGUUUUACUGCUUCCUUGAAACACGUCAGUGGAACACGUCAGGCAGCCUAUUUCAUCGAUAAGCAACAGAUAGACAAAAAUAAGAUAAUCAGUAGGGCAUGAACUCUAAUAAGUGGUAUCAGAGCGAUGUUGUCUUAAAAAGGUAUAGCACCUCAGACAAAGAUCAAUAUGAUGAAUUCUGCACCACCUACUGGUCACAGUGAAGGUCAAUCCACUAUUAGCCCUCCACUCUUUGAUGGUUCUCAGUUCAUUUGGUGGAAAGCUGGGAUGGAAACACUCAUUCAAGGGGAGGACUGCGAGUUAUGGGAUAGGAUCACUGAUAGUCCUACUAUUCCAAUGAAGUUAGAAGAUGGAAAACAGGUCAAGAAUGUAAGAAGUGAAUUCACUCCUGAUGACUUAUUGGCAUUAAAGAAAAAUUCUAAGGCCAAAAAUAUUUUGUUCUGUGGAUUAGGACCUGCUGAAUACAACAGGGUAUCAACAUGUACCACUACUAAGCAAAUUUGGGAUGCUCUAGUAAAUGCUCAUGAAGGCACAUCUCAAGUAUGAAAAUUCAGAAUUUCUUUUCUUUUCACUGAGUAUGAGGUAUUUAAGAUGAAGGAGAAGGAAACCUUGCAUGAGAUGAUGACAAGGAUUACUGCCUUAACAAAUAAGCUGACCUCCUUAGGAAAAACUAUAUCUGAAAAAGAACAAGUCGAGAAGGUACUGAGGGUAUUACCAAAAUCAAAGUAGAAUGUUAAGGUGACUGCAAUCAGGAAAGCAAAUAAGGAUCUUGCAGGCAUGACCUGGAUGAAUUAGUGGAGAAUUUAAGAACUUAUGAAAUGAAAAUUAAUGGAACUAAAGUCCUAGAAUCCCUAGAGGAUACCUUAGCUCUGAAGGCAUCUUACAGUGAUGAAGAAAUUAAACUUGAUAAAGAACAAGUUGCCUUUAUAGCUAAGAACUUCAGCAAAUUCUUCAAAAAGAAAAAGGGAAUAGGUAGCAAGAAAUGGUCAAAUGACAAUCUAAAUGGAUGCUACAAGUGUGGUAAGACUAAUCAUCAUAUCAAAGAUUGUCCUGUUUGGGAAAUAGAAUGGAGAAAGGAAAGGAAUGAAAAGGAAUUGAAAGAAAAAACCAAAAAGAGGGAAGAAUAUGCAAUGGUAGCAGCUUGGGGAUUUGACUCAAAUGAUGAUGAAGUAGCACUCAUGGCUCUUGGAGAUUCAGACUUGGAGGAAGAAGAUGAUGCUUCUGAGGUAAGUAUACUUAAACUUAAAGAAAAGUUGCAUUUAUUUUCUAAAACAAAACUUAUUUCCUUGAUGAGUGUACUAAUUGAUGACUUCCAAGAAUCAACUUCUGAUAGGGAUGAGCUGUUUAACAAUCUUGCAAGAAUCAAAUUUGAUUUUAUUGAUUUAGAAGCUUACAAAAACAUUGUUGAACAGGAAAACUGCUCUCUCAAGAAACAGGUUGAGCAACUUGAUUCUUCGAAUAAUGAUCUUAAGUCUAAAGUUCUAAAAUUGACACUAUCUGAAAAAGGAAAAAACACCAAGAAUAAAGAAUAAGAAAAAGUUGAACUUGAAUUGGUCAAGUACAAAGAAGAGUGCAAUAAUGCAACAGAAAUGGUGAAUAUACUGUGUCAAGAAGUCUCUAAACUAAAACUUGACCUUGAAAAAGCAAACAGGUGGACAAAUUCCUCAAGAAUUGUUCAUAAGUUGAGUGAAAGAUAUUAUAGUGAAAAAGCUGGUUUGGGUUUUCAUAAAAGUCUUGAUGCUUAUCAAGACUUGUGCUAGAUUUGUGAAAACCUUGGACAUCCAACCACUGAAUAUCCAGUUGCUGGCAAAAGCAGAUCCAGCAGUCCAAAUCUGGCAAAUAAACUAUCUCAGACCAAGAAAAAGAUAACUAAACUUGGUCAGAGAAACAGGUCAUGUAACCUGUUGCUUGCAUGGGCUAAAAGAAAUCUGAUUCAUCCAUUUACUCUAAGAAAGGACCUAAUCUUGUCUGGGUGCCUAAAGUUAACGCCAAAUUUGUUUUGCAGGUGAGAAUGAAAGGAGGCAAGCAAAAUUUGUGCAUAAAUAAAGCUUGCUCAAGGCAUAAGACUAGAAGAAAAUAAAGUUUCUUUCACUCACCACAUUUAAAGAGGGAAUGGAUCAUUUGAAAGAUGGCCAAAUUUGUAGUGCUGUGUAAGGGGGAAGCAAAGGAGAUUUAAAAAAAAAAAGAGGAUGACUGUGAAACUGAUGAGCAUGCACAGGAACAUAUUGUACCACCUGGUUCAACUGUUGUACAGACUGAGGAUAUAUUGAUAGGGAGAACAACAAAUAAAGACAUGGAUGCAUUAAUAAAACCAAUACAAGAUGCUGGUAAUUUUGUUGGUAGUUCAUAAAAAUUGGUGUUGUCAAAAGAAUCUUGAGAUAUCUCAUGGGAAUCAAUGGCUUAAGACUAUGAUAUCCAAAGGAAAGCAAUUUCACUCUUAAGGACUAUAAAAAUGUUGACUAUGUGGGUUACUUAAUUAACUGUAGAAGCACCAAAGGCACUAAGUAGAGAGCAUUUUAAAAGGAAUAGGUUAGACUUGGGGAUGAUUAAAAUUUCAUGAACUCCCCUCAAUGAUUGACUAGAAUAAUCAUUUUUCUUUUUAAUCUUAUUAGCUAAAAAGUUAUUCUAUUCAGUCUUGCACAUUUAGUUGUGUGUUCCAAUUCCAUAUUUUUAACUUUUCUAACCUAAUUUUGUAUUAGAUUAUGCAAAAAUAGGUACAAGCAAGCAAUUGUGACCACAAAGUUCUUCUGACAUAAGCAUAGUCUGUCUAAGUUGAAAUAGUUGAGCACACCUGUUCAAUUUCACAUACUUUUCAUCCUUUCAUUGUCUAAUAAAGCUAAUGAAUUAUUGACCAAAAUUUUUUUGAUUCUCUCCAAAUGGGUGUGCACAAAUGUGUUAAUCCUAUACCAGAAAUUCCUUCUUCUUUCUCAACCAAAAUAUCAGUUGUGUACCAUGGAUUUGCCAAGCUUGAUCAUCAAUCACAUGCAACAUAUGUUUCUGAAGAAUGAAAAGGGACAUGUUUUCCCUUUUAGUUCCUAAUUGGUUAUUUUUUAGGACUUCUCAGUCCUAAAUCAGGCUUGACUUAUAAAAAAAUAGAUGUUCUUGAACAGAUGAAUCAUGAUGCUCUACCUGUUUCAAUAAGGAGGGCUAACACUUAUUUGAAAAAAAAAAUCUAAACUAGAAGCUGCACAAGACAGUCAUGAAGUGGAAUAAGAGGUCCUUAAGGCUAGGAUCAUGACUUUGAAGCUUGAUCUUGAUUGAUAGAGGGAUGAAAAUAUUAAAGUCAUUCAUCAGUUGACACAGUUGAUAUCACCUGUUCCACCUUCAUCAUCAGCUCCUCACUUUUGUAUCCUUAGCCAUGUCCCACUUUUAUAUCGUAUUUUUUUAAUGCUUUGUUUUGUUCAGUACUAGCUUAGGUUUAAUGUGGAACAUGCUCUGUCAGUUAAAUGGAAUGGUUAUCUUUGCUAAAUUGACUCAUAUUUUUGCUCUCUUUAAUACAUUACUAGGUUGGCUAAAGUCUUUGUCUGAUUGUUUUGGUGAUAGACCCAGUGGCCAUGAAUAACAUAACAAAUCACUUUGCUAGUACAUUAUUGCAUUGAAAUAAUUUUUCGAUGAUGCCAAAAGAGGGAAGAUAAGAGGGUUGUGUAAUGUUUAUAACCCAUUGACUAACUUGUUUCAUUAUAAUGUUUUAUACUUUAGUGCCUACAGGUGAAGAUAUUUGAAUACACAAAGACAAUAGGUUUGUCAUCAUCAAAAAGAGAGAAUUUGUUGGAACCUUAAAGUCUUGAUAAAUGACAAUAUGAAAGAAACAAGUUGAUAUGAGUUAAUUCAGUGCAACUGAAAACUUCAACUUACUGAUCACAUGGGGAAUAGAACAAUUUGAAUUUGAUUCAAACACUUGAUGAUAAGGGAAAGCAAUUUGAGUUGAAAAAAGAGUCCUAAGUAAAGAAGGAGUUUCACUUCUGAGUAUAUCCUGAAGAGUACUAUGUAGAAGGAUAAAGAUUCUACAGAUUGAAGAUGUCUACGCAAGAUAGGAAACAUAUAAAUUAAAGGACUCUUCGUUAAAUCAAUGAAGUUUUUGAUGACUGACACAUGAAUGGAACAUGUUACUUGACCUGGUCCAAGCAUAGGAAGACAGGUUUCAGGUUUUACUAAUAGAUACAGACAAAGAUUGCUAAAAGGCAGGAACGAAUGAGCAAGCCUAAUUCUGAUAUAUUCAAGCUACUAAUCACGUGAGAAAUUGAAGAAGUUGUGGUUGAGUAAAAUACUUGAAGAUAAGUUGAUUUAAAGAGUUGAAGUUUGACUACAACACUAAGGAGACAAGAGUUGGAAUUGAAGAAGGAGUCUCACUUGAAGUAGAACUCUAUGUAAUGAGAGUUUUGAUUAAAGGAGGAGUUUAAAAUAAAGAAUGACUCUUUGGAGAGCUGUGCUUAAAUAGAAGAUGCAUCAUUCAGAGUAAUUCACGCACUUUUAAAAAGCAAAAAAGCACAAUCGACAAAUUGACUUCACGAAGUGCUAUUCAAUUACUGAAGAAACACAUUGAAGCACCAGGUCCUAAGUAAAGAAUCUAGCUAAGAGUUUUAGCUUUGAUUUUUAGAGUUGUUCAUUAUGCUUGAGCUAUUGAUGUAAUAUUAGUUUUAGUGUAUUAUAAACUGAAUUAGGAGAUAGUUUUCGAGUUGGGAAAAACUCAGAGACUUUGGGAACGCAUACCUUGGGAGGCGUGUGUGUAGUUAGGAAUUAGAGUUUAUAAUUCCUAGUCAUUGAGUUAAAGGAAUUAGAGUUUAUAAUUCCUAGUUGUUGAGAUAUAGGGAUCAGAGUUUAUGAUUCCUAUUUGUUGGUUACAGGAGUUUUGUAAUCAGUCGUUGUUGAGGCUCAGAGUUAUUUAGUGAAGUUGGAGUUAAAUCUUGUAAAGGUGCAGGUCGUGGUUUUUUUACACCUUUUAAGCCGGGUGUUUUCCACGUAAAAAUCAUUGUGUUCUUUACUUUCUGUUUUACUGCUUCCUUGAAACACGUCAAUGGAACACGUCAGGUAACCCGUUCCAUCGAUAAGCAACAAUUAGGCAAAAAUAAGAUAUUCAGUAAGGCACGAACUCUAACACAAGCAGCCAUACAUAUAGCUAGGAACCAUGUGUUCCAUGAAAGGACCAAACACAUUGAAGUCGACUGUCAUUUUGUUAGGGAAAAGCUACAUGAAGCACUCAUUCAACUUUAACAUAUUUCAUCUACUGAUCUUACUAAGGCCCUCUUCGGUCCCAAACAUCAUUCCGUUCUUGGCAAUUUGUCAGUGCAUUCCCACCUCCAACUUGAGGGUGGGUGUUGAGAUUAUCAAAUUUAAUUAUGCUAUUAGUUUAGUUAGUAUAGUUUGGUGUUAGCGUUGUUACCUGUACAACUAACCGAUUAGUUUCUUGUUAUUAGAGUAGUUAUGCUGACUAGGCAGUUGGUUAUGCCUUGUUGCAAUCUGUAGACAGCUGACAUUUUAUUUUUCUUACUUGUAUAUAUAGAUUGCUCCUACAUGAAUAAAAUCAGUUUUUGGUUUCUCACUUUAACCUCUCAAAUAUCUUCUCUAGAGCUCAAACUGCUCCAUUGAUGGAGUUUAUGAUCUGCUUCCAUUGAAGCUUCUUCAAUUUUAACAAACUAUUUGUGAGAAAAAUGUCUACUAGAUACCCAUUUAUUAUUGAUUGAUGUGUCUAAUAGAAAAUAAGGUUGGUUUGAAUUAUUUAGACGAAAUCAAAAUUUUUACUAAGAGAGUUUAAAUUUGAAGAAAAAUUAAUUGAAGGGAAUUCAAAUCUAUUAUAUGUACAUAAAAAGUUAUUUUAUUCAUUUAUAAAUAAUAUAAUUUUUUAUGAUAAGGGAUCCGUAUGAACCCAUGUCAAAGGUUUGCUUUGACAUGCGUCGAGAUGUCCAAGUGAAUUUUCUGGGAAAUUUUUUUUCGGCAUAGUGAUGACGUGGUCACAAAAGAGCCAAUAGGUUUUUACCCACUAGUACCAAUAAUGUAUUCAACCUUUCAUUUCAACUGUAUUACAAUGAGUACUUUAGCAAGGAAAAAGUGGUGAAAUGUACUACCUCACAAAUAAAAUGAACUAGCAAGUUAGUCGCCAAUUAAUACUGUUCCGCAAGUUACACGUUUGGUGGAUCUGUGGAAAAUGUUACUGCGCAUUUACUUUGUUAGGUGGACACGUUAUACCAUUUGUCCUGAUACCUAAUUUUCUAACAUGGAUACCCCUUUAAAUAUAUGUCUAGUACACAUGUUCUUGAUUAUAAAGUUCCAGUUUUUAGUUAACUUUGCAUUUUUUUUUUUAAGUAUGGAUUAUUAUUAUUAUGCCACUCCUCUGGCUCUCUUGCUUGCCUGGACUUUGGUCCAAGGCUUCAAUUUAAUACUAUCAUUAAGAACAAAUAGGAGGAGGAGAAAGCUUCCUCCAGGACCCUUGCCAUUACCCGUAAUCGGAAACCUUCACUUGCUAGGCAAUCAACCCCAUAGAUCCCUUGCAAAACUUGCUGAUUUUCAUGGCCCAAUUAUGCGUCUGAAGCUGGGACAAACAACCGCUGUGGUCAUUUCUUCUUCAGACAUGGCCAAACAAGUGCUCCAAAAGCAGGUCUCAGCCUUCUCUAGCAGGUCAAUUCCUGAUUUAGUCCAAGUUGACAAUUUUCACCUGUUCUCCGUAGCUUGGCUUCCCGCAUCCCGGCCUCAAUGGAGAAAUCUCCGCAAAAUCUUGAAUUCCCGCAUCUUCUCCGUCAAUAACCUUGAUGCCAGCCAGCACCUUAGGUAUGUUAACUUAUUGUAUGAUUACGUUAUUUACAAGUUUAAACUGUUAGAGAUGACAUAUUUUUAAUUAUUUGCGGAAUCAUGUUUUCAAUAAGGUUCAAGAAGAUCCAAGAACUUGUAGUUUACUGUCAAAGGAGUAGCGAAAUGGGCGAGGCGGUUGAUAUUGGGGGUGCAAUUUUCAGGACCAUGUUGAAUUUACUUUCCAACACCCUCUUCUCAAAAGACUUGGCGGAUCCAUAUGAAAAUUCGGGUAAAGAAUUUAUGGAAAUGGUGGAGGGAAUAAUGUUGGAGUUGGGUAAACCAAACUUGGUAGAUUACUUUCCGGUGCUAAAAAUAAUAGAUCCUUUAGGGCUGAGGCGAUAUAAUUCUCUUUUCGGGAAACUACUAAAGCUAUUUCAUGGAUUGAUAAAUGAGAGACUGGAGCUAAGGAAGUCCCAAAAUGUUCAAAAAACUGAUGUUUUAGAAGCCUUAAUCACAGCCAGUGAACAUGAUCCCCAAGAGAUUGAUCGCAUGCAUAUAGCAACAAUAUGUUUGGUGAGCUAUCUUUAGUUCUCCUUCUUUAUUUUUAUUUUUUGAAAUUAAGGGUAGGAGAUUAGAUUUCCUAUGUAUGUAUGUAUAUAUGUAUGAUCUUUCAUGGCCACUUACAAAUUGAAUAGAAGAAAAUGAUAAUUCAGAUCUAUUAUGUGUAAACAUGAAGAUCUGUUGUAAACAUAAACUAAAAUAAGUUUGUAAGGGGCUACAAAACCAAAUCUCUCAAUUCGUAAUCGAAAAUACUAAAUUCAAGUGAAACCUUUAAAUAUGCAUGAGUUGGUGAAUUAUCCAUCCGUGGUUUGCAUGAUUAGUUUCUCGAGUAAUUUUCACCUCAAGGUUUUCAGUGUAUUUCAGGACUUAUUUGUUGCCGGAACUGACACAAGUUCGAACGUAAUGGAGUGGGCUAUGGCUGGGCUUCUUAAAGCUCCAGAGAUUAUGAAGAAAGCUCAAGACGAGCUCUCAGAAGUCAUCGGAGAAGGGAAGGCAAUAGAGGAAGAUGACGUAGUCCGACUCCCUUACUUGCAGUGCAUUAUUAAAGAAACUUACAGGCUGCACCCUCCAGCUCCUUUUUUGGUUCCCCGAGAAGCAGGGCAAGAUGUUGAGGUAUGUGGCUACACUGUCCCUAAAGGUUCAAAACUGAUGGUUAAUGCGUGGGUAAUUGGUCGGGACUCAACCCUUUGGGAAGACUCUUUGGUGUUUAAUCCUGAUAGGUUUAAGGAUUCAAAAUUGGAUGUGCGAGGUCAAGAUUUUGAGUUAAUUCCAUUUGGUGCUGGUCGAAGGAUUUGCCCUGGUUUGCCUUUGGCAAUAAGGAUGGUUCCAGUUAUGCUUGGCACACUGUUGAAUACAUUUAACUGGAAAAUUGAGGGUGAUAUUGCUCCAAAAGACUUGGACAUGCAGGAGAAAUUCGGCCUCACCUUGGCCAGACUUCAUCCUCUCCGAGCUGUUCCACUUCCCCUCUGAAAUCCAAAAUUAGAUGGUUUCCUAGAAAAGCCAAUGGAUGAUGAACGUUGUUACUAAUAUUUCAUUUCCAAGAAAAUGAAAAAGAAAUAAAGAAUUUAGCACUCAUAUAAGCACAAAUUAUGUAAUAUUGCAGCUACGGAAAGUUUCUUCCCAGUAAAGAGAUCGGGAAACAGAUGCAUCGGAUUUUACUUGAAGUUCAAAACAUACAAGGCAAUUUGAACAUGUAUUCUUACCUUUCAUAAUUACCUCAUGUUUAAUUAUAGUUGAAACAAUUACCUCUCUUUGUAGCUUGAUCCUUUAAUUUGCGUCGCAUAAUUAUAGACUAUAGUCAGUUCUUCAAAAUUAUAUGAAAAAGGAAGCUAAAUGCUUACUACUGCUUGAUAACUAACAAUAUAUUUGGUGUAAUUCACAAGUUAGCUUUUAGGAGAAUAUUGUUAAUAUAUCCUUAUCUCUACCUUAUGAAGAUAGGUAGAGAGGUUGUUUCCAAAAGACCAUCGACUUAAAGAAAAGCAUAUCAAAUCAGUAAGAAAAGAAAAUACAUUAGUGAAACCAUCAUGUUGAAAAUAAUGAUAAAAGAAUAGUACCAACAAUAAAUAAUACAAUACAUAAGCAAGUGAAACAAGUUGAAAUUGAGGGCGACAUUGCACCAAUAGAUUUGGACAUGCAGGAGAAAUUUGGCCUCACAUUGGCUGCAAACUCUGAAUAUACACUAGAUAACCUCAAACCAAAGGAUGGAUUACUAGAAAAGUCUAUGAAUGAAUACUUGAAUAGCUACUUCAAUGAUCUAUCUAAUAAUAUUUCCUUUAAUGUCCAAACAUAAUGUGUGUAUGCAUGUGCUGGAGGAUGUUCCAGACAGGUUAAUCCAAGAACGAAAUUGACCACGAAUCAAAUCGAGAAAACGUAUACAGAAACGUAUAUCAUAAUUUGUGUGCGGGUACAUCUUAAUUAGAAACGAUAAAAAAUAAUAUUUUAAUAUUAUGCACGCAUCACGCGAGUACAUAUACUAGUUAUGAUGUAAAAAGAAAAUAAAAAAUACAAUAAUUUAACGAAAAAAAUUAAUGAACAAAGAAACAUAUAAGAGAAAAAAGAAGAAAAAAUGAGUACAGACAUAAAAAUAAAAAGAAUUAAAAGUGAGAUAAAUAACUAACGGUACAAAGAAUCGNNNNNNNNNNNNNNNUCGGAAGAGAACCUAACCUUAAUGAAUUGACUAUGAAGGCGCCAGUCAAGUGGUUUGAGGACAUUCGGUCGGUUCCCGUUCGCCUCCCUCUCCUCAUAAUCAAUUAGUGGGUAGGGUGGUCAUGUAAGGGGACAUUUAGUUAUAAAUAAUUUACUCCUAUACUUUCGCCAAAUAUUUUAAAACCCAAGCCCGUUUAGAUUUAACGCAAGUCCUAUAAUUUGUCCUAAAUCUAAGUCUCUCAUAAGUCAGACCUCAGUCUCUCAACGCCUCACUCUCCACUCUCAACUCUCACUGUUUAGUAGAUGUAUUAUGUGCCUACUGCUGAACGCAAGUCCUAUAAUUUGUCCAAGCUAACAUUCACCACUAUAAAUAUAUAUAUGUCUAGUACACAUGUUCUUGAUCAUAAAGCCCCAGUUAUUAGUUAAAUUUGCAUGCAUCUUUUUUGCAACGUUAUUACUAUGAAUUAUUAUUAUACCACACCUCUAGCUCUCUUACUUGCCUGGACUUUGGUCCAAGGCUUCACUUUGUUACUAGCAUUAACAACAAAUAGAAGCAGGAGAAAGCUUCCUCCAGGACCCUCGCCAUUACCCAUUAUUGGGAACCUUCACUUGCUAGGCAAUAAACCCCAUAGAUCCCUUGCAAAACUUGCCAAUUUUCAGGGCCCAAUUAUGGGUCUGAAGUUGGGACAAUUAACAACUGUGAUCAUAUCUUCUUCAGACAUGGCCAAACAUGUUCUCCAAAAGCAAGACUUAGCCUUCUCUAGCAGUAUGUCAAUUCCUGAUACAGUCCUAAUCAACAACUAACACAUGUUCUCGGUUUCUUGGCUUUCCAUUUGCCCUCAAUGGAGAAGUCUCCGAAAAAUCUUAAAUUCCCACAUAUUCUCCGUUAGCAAGCUUGAUGCCACUCAGCACCUUAGGUACGUACGUUUAAGUUGUGUGACCGUAUCAUCUGAAAAUUUAAACAACCGUUUAAAGAUAUCAAGCUUAAUUUGUCUGAUUAAUAGAUAUCUUUUGAUAAUGAAUGAUAGAUGGUAUUACUCGAUCCAGAAUCUUAGCGUGAUCUGAAAUCAUCUUAACUAUGUGAUCACUAGCCUCAUCAAAAUUCUAACACAUUUUUUAAACUACUUACUGAAUCAUGUUUUCAAUAAGGUACAAGAAGAUCGAAGAACUUGUUGUUUACUGUAGAAAGAGUAGCCAAAUGGGCGAGGCGGUUCAUGUUGGUGCUGCAAUUUUCAGGACCAUGUUGAAUUUACUUUCCAACACCCUCUUCUCAAAAGACUUGGCGGAUCCAUAUGAAAAUUCGGGUAAAGAAUUUAUGGAGAUGGUGGAGGGAAUAAUGUUGGAGUCGGGUAAACCAAACUUGGUAGAUUACUUUCCAGUGCUAAAAAUAGUAGAUCCUCUUGGGUUGAGGCGAUAUAAUUCUAGUUUCGGGAAGCUACUAAAGCUACUUGAUGGUUUGAUAAAUGAGAGGGUGGAGUUGAGGAAGUUGAAGGGACAAAAAAGUGAUGUUUUUAGACGCCUUACUCACAGCCAGUGAGCAUAAUCCCCAAGAUAUUGAUCGCAAGCAUAUAGCUUCAAUACUUUUGGUGAGUAAUCUUUAAUACUCCUUAAGAAUAUUCUUGAUAAUUGUUGAUUCUCCCAUAUUGGUUUGGUUGUAAAUGGGUGUUUGGUCGAUCACCUUAUAUGUUCUUGAACAAUACCCCCUCCAUGAUCUACCUUUUGAGGUCUAGAUAGACUUGAGGGACGUUCUUUUUUUUAAUCAUGGCAUAAAGUUAGGCUCAUCUUGGUUCAUUUUUUUCUGGAACCUCUUUCAUUAUUGUUAGAGCAUGAGAAGUUUUGAUGAUAGACAGAUGAAUGAAACAUGUUGUGCAAGCUGGUCCAUACAAGUGAAACUGCUUCGGACAUAUGGAGUGCAUGCUGAAAUCAUUACAUGCUAAAAUUAUUGCAUAAGCUAUCAACACAUGGAUAAGCAAAGGAUGUUCACACGGCUAUAUAAAGAUAAUUGGAGCAGUUAGAGUUUGAGUAGAUCAAGAAAUCUACAAGGCAGAAGGAUAAAGCAAAAGAGUCCUACAGAAGAUACAAGUAAAGAAGAAAAAGGACUGCAUCUAAGGGAGCAUAUAUAGAUGACAAGCUGCAUUUAAAUAGCGAAAAAAGCACUGAUAAGAAAAUCAACAAUCAGCAAAAUCGUUCACCAACUUGAAGAAGAACCUAGUUCUCACUUAGUAUGUUUUAGACUGCUUGUAAUAGGAAGGUUAUUGAGUUGUAAUGAGUAAAUGGUUCUAGUCUCAGUAUUCUAUAAGCUGAUUUAGGAAUCACGUCUUCAAGUUAGGGAACUCGAAGACUUGGGAACACUUAUCUUGGGAAGAUUUGUGUUUUUGUAGUAAUAGGAGUUAGAAGUUUUAAUUCCUUAUUUACAAGAAGUCUUGUAAUUGUGUUGAUUGUUGAGGCUCAAAGUUAUAGUGAAGAUUGGGGUUAAAUCCUGUAGAGGUAUAGGUUGUAGUUUUUUUACACCUUUUUGAGCCGGGUGUUUUUCACAUAAAAAUUACUGUGUUCAGUUUUUACUUCUGUGAACCACGUAUACUUACUUGUUCCACAGAUAGACAAUCAGUAGGGAUCAUACUCUAACAAGUGGUAUCAGAGCCGAUUGUCUUAAAUAGGGUUUGCAUCUAAUAUCAGAUCAUUUUGAUAAAUUCCGCACCUCCUACUGGUCACAGUGAAGGUAAAUCCACUACUAGACCCCCACUCUUUGAUGGUACUCAUUUCAUCUGGUGAAAAUCCAGGAUGGAGAUGUUUAUUCAAGAAAAAGACUAUGAAUUAUGGGAUAGGAUUACUGAAGGUUCUACUAUCCCUAUGAAGACAGAAAAUGGUGUGCAAGUCAAGAAAAUAAGGAGUGGGUUUAGUGCUGAUGAUCUUUUGGCUUUAAAGAAAAAUGCUAAGGCAAAAAAUAUCCUAGUCUGUGGUCUAGGACCUGCUGAAUACAAUAGAAUAUCUACCUGUACCAUUGCUAAGAAAAUAUGGGAUGCCUUAGUAAAUGCCCAUGAAGGUACCUCUCAGGUAAGGAAAUUCAGGAUCUCUCUCCUUUUUACUGAAUAUAAAGCGUUUAUGAUGAAGGAAAAUGAAUCCUUGCAUGAUAUGAUGACAAGACUUACUACUCUAACAAAUGAGUUAACCUCCUUGGGAAAAGUCAUCACUGAAUAAGAACAAGUAGAGAAGGUUCUGAGGGUGCUACCAAAGUCAAAAUGAAAUGUUAAAGCCACUGCAAUUAGGGAAGCAAAUAAGGAUCUCACAGGUAUGACUUUGGAUGAACUAGUAGGGAAUUUAAGAACCUAUGAAAUGGAAGUUGAUGGCAUUAAGGAACAGAAAGCUUUUGAAAAAAUCUUGGCCUUGAAGGCUUCUGAUAGUGAUGAAGAGAUUGAACUGGAUAAGGAACAAAUUGCCUUCAUAACAAAAAAUUUCAGCAACUUUUUUAAGAAGAAGAAAGGAACAGGUAGCAAGAAGCGUUCCAAUGACAAUCCAAACGGAUGUUACAAGUGUGGAAAGACUGAUCAUCAUAUCAGAGAAUGUCCUCUCUGGGAAAUAGAAUGGAGGAAGGAAAGAGUUGAAAAAGAACAAAAGGCCAGGAGGAAGGAAAAGAAAGAACAUGCCAUGAUAGCUACAUGGGGAUCUGACUCUGAUAAUGAUGAUGGAGUUGAUGAGACAACAUUUAUGGCUUUUGGAGACUCAGACACUGAGGAAGAAGAUGAUGCUUCUGAGGUAAGUUUACUUGAACUAAAAUAAAAACUGCAUUUUUUUUAAAACUAAACUUGUUUCCUUGAUGAGUGAUUUAAUUAAAAUUUCCAAGAAUUAACUUCUGAUAGGGAUAAAUUGUUCAACAGUCUUGCAAGUCUUAAAUUUGAUUUCAUUGUCUUGAAAGUUUGCAAGCAAAAUGUUGACAAAGAAAAUUACACUCUCAAGGAACAAAUUACACUGCUUGAAUCCUCAAAUAAUGAUCUUAGGUUUGAAAUUCUUAAAUUGACUCUCACUGGCCAUGGGAAAAAGGCCAUAAGUAAAGAACAAGUAAAUGCUGAACUUGAGUUAACUAAGUACAAACAAGAAUGCUAUGACUUGACUGAAAAGAUGGAUAAGAUGAGUCAAGAGGUAGCAAGAUUAAAAUUAGAUCUAGAAAAGUCAAAUAGAUGGACAAAUUCUUCAAGAAUUGUUCAUCAGCUUGGUAACAGAAAUCACAAUGAAAAAACAGGCUUGGGUUUUUAUAAAGAAGCUGAUAAUCUUCAAGACUUAUGCUAUAUUUUUGGCAAUCUUGGACAUCCUACUACUGAAUGUCCUAUGGCUGCUAAAAGAAGAUUUCAAAGUCUGAACCUGGCAACCAAACUUUCUCAGACCAAGAAAACAAACUCUAAAAUUAGUCUGAGAAAUAAGUCAAUCUACUUGCUUCCUGCUUGGACUAGAAGGAAUUUAAUUCAUCCUUUUACUAACAAAACAGGACCCAAGCUUGUCUGGGUUCUUAAGUAUAACCAUUGACUUCUUGUGUAGGAGAAGGUGAAGGGAACAAAAGGCACUGGUACCUAGAUAGUGCUUGCUCAAUACAUAUGACCGGUGACAAGCAAAAGUUCCUUCCACUCUCCAAAAUAGAUGGUAGGGGAGUCUCUUUUGAAAAUGGAAAAAGGGGAAUCAUAAUUGGAGUUGGAAAAAUUGGCUCAUCUGAGUCAAAAGUUGUGGAGGAUGUUUAUCUUAGGGAAGGACUGAAGCAUAACCUGCUAAGCAUUUCACAAUUAUGUGACAAAGGUAAUAAAGUAAUUUUCACUGCUGCAGGUGUUAAAAGGAUGGACACCAAAGAAAUUAUGCUUACUUCAAGGAGAUACAGAAAUGUAUACAAAGCAGACAUAAUGGCAAUACUUGGACCUGAGUUGAAUUGUCUAAGUACAAUAGAAACUGAUCCCCUCCUUUGGCACAGAAGACUUGGACAUGCAAGUGUGAAACAACUGAACAUACUUUUCUCGAAAGACAUGGUAUUGGAACUACCCAAGACCAAUUUUAAGAAAGAAAAGUUAUGUAGUGCAUGUGUAAGAUGGAAGCAGGUAAAAUCCUCUUUCAAGUCAAAGAUCUAUGUUAGUACUACCAAAUGUCUUGACCUGGUUCAUAUGGACUUGUGUGGACUAAUGAGACAACAAAACAGAGGUGGAAAAAGGUAUAUUUUUGUAAUUGUUGAUGAUUAUUCCAAGUUCACCUGGACUUUGUUUCUAGCCUCUAAAUAAGAUGCCUUUGAUGUCUUUGAAAUCUUUAUUAAGAAAAUAUAAAAGAAACUGGGCACUUCAUUAGUUUCCAUAAGGUCUGACCAUGAAACAGAAUUUGAGAAUGCAAAAUUCUUAGAUUUUUGUUCAUCAAAUGGAAUAGAUCAUAACUUCUCAGCUCCUAGAACUCUGCAACAAAAUGGAGUGGUAGAAAGAAAGAACAGAUACUUGGAAGAUAUGGCUAGAACAAUGAUUCUUAUAGCAAAUGUUGCCAAAAACCUAUGGGCUGAGGCAAUAAGUACUGUAGCAUAUAUCACUAACAGAUGCAUAAUCAGACCCAUGUUCGAAAAGACUCCCUAUGAAUUACUAAAAGGUAAAAAUCCUAACAUUUCUCACUUUAAAACUUUUGGUUGCAAAUGUUUCAUACAUAAUAAUGGUAAGGAUAAUUUGGGAAAAUUUGAUGCCAAAAGUGAUGAGGGAAUCUUUUUAGGUUAUUCACUUCAUAGUAAGUCUUACAGAGUUUUAAACAACAGAACUAACUAUAUUGAAGAAAGCAUGCAUGUGAUUUUUGAUGAGUUUUAUGUUAAGACUAACCUGCAGGAAGAAAGCGACACUGAGGAAUAGGUUACACAACAUGUUCCAUCGAUUGAAGCAGUCAAACUUGGGGGCACUUUCAUAGAGGGAACUGAAGAUGAAGACACAGUGUUAGGGGGAACUCAUCCAUCAACUACUUCACAUCAGAACAUUAGCAGUGAUCCAAGCAUCUCACUAGGCUUGAUCCCAAAAGGAUACAAGUAUCAAGGUCCGCACCCCAUUGAGAAUGUACUUAUUGAUCUCACUUCUGGAAUCACCACAAGAUCUGGAUUGAGAAGUAUGUGUGCAUUCAAGGCANNNNNNNNNNNNNNNNNNNNNNNNNNNNNNNNNNNNNNNNNNNUUGAUUGGAUCAUAGCCAUGCAGGAUGAAUUGAAUCAGUUUGAGAGAAGCAAAGUAUGGCAUUUAGUUCCUCUUCCAAAAGAUAGAUCAGUCAUUGGCACUAAAUGGGUGUACAGAAAUAAAGUUGAUGAGCAUGGAACAACCACAAGAAACAAAGCAAGACUGGUGGUUCAAGGAUACAACUAAGAAGAAGGAAUUAACUUUGAUGAGACUUUUGCUCCUGUAGCAAGACUUGAAGCCAUAAGAUUGCUGGUUGCCUUUGCCUCUUACAUGGAGUUUAUUUUGUACUAGAUGGAUAUGAAGAGUGCAUUCCUAAAUGGCAUUCUCAAAGAAGAGGUUUAUGUGAAGCAAACUCCAGGAUUUGAAAGCAGAGAGUUUCCAGAUCAUGUGUACAAGAUGGAUAAGACUUUGUAUAGGUUGAAACAAGCACCAAGGGCCUGGUAUGAGAGAUUAUCAAAGUUUUUACUGGAGCAUGGACACACCAGAGGUAAAAUUGACAAUACCUUUUUCUUAAAAACUAAUAGAAAGGAUUUGUUAGUUGUGUAGAUGUAUGUGGAUGACAUUAUUUUUGGCUCAACCAAGAUGAAUAUGACUCAUGACUUUGCUAAAAUCAUGAGUUGUGAGUUUGAAAUGAGCAUGAUGGGGGAGUUAAAUUACUUCCUGGGUCUUCAAAUAAGACAGUCAACAUCAGGAACAAUGAUCCAUCAACAAAAGUAUGUCAAAGAGCUUCUCAAAAAAUUCUCCAUGGAGGAAAUUAAAGAAAUAAGUACUCCCAUUGCCACUGCCACAAAACUUGAUCUGAAUGAAAUAGGUUCUGAUGUAGAACAAAAACUAUAUAGAGGUAUGAUAAGGUCCUUAUUGUAUCUCACAGCAAGCAGACCUGACAUUGUGUUUAGUGUAGGACUAUGUGCAAGGUUUCAAGUUAAUCCAAAAGAAUCCCAUCUGAAGUCUGUAAAAAGAAUCUUCAGAUAUUUGAAAGGAACUAGUGAUCUUGGGUUGUGGUAUCCCAAAGGUAGUAACUUUAAUUUGGCAGGAUACUCUGAUGCUGAUUAUACAGGAUAUUUGGUGGACAGGAAAAACACUAUAGGUAUGGCACACUUCUUAGGAUCAUGUUUGAUUACCUAGUCCACAAAGAAGCAAAAUUCAGUAGCUUUGUCUACUGCUGAGGCUGAAUACAUUGCUGCUGGGUUAUGUUGUGCUCAAUUGUUAUGGAUCAAACAACAACUUCUGGAUUUUAGGGUAGAUGUAGGUUGUGUUCCCAUCUUUUGUGAUAACACUAGUGCUAUAACAUAGCCAAAAAUCCUGUCCAACAUAAAAGAACUAAGCAUAUUGAUAUUCGUCAUCACUUCCUUUGAGACAAUGUUGAAAAAGGAAAUAUAUCAAUUAUGUUUUGUUCAACUGAGGAACAAAUUAUUGAUAUAUUCACUAAGGCUUUGAGUAGGGAACACUUUGAAAAAAAUAGGUUAGCAUUGGGGAUGAUGAAAAUUGUAUAAAUCUCCUUCAAUGAUUGACUAGAAUAUGCUAUGCUUGAGUGAUUGUUGAUUAAUUCAGUCUUACACAUUUAGUUGUGUGUCCUAAUUCCAAGAUUUAAAGCAAUGUGAUAUAUCUAUGUGUUGUUUUUUUGGAUAGAUGGAUCAUCAAGGCAAGAGUGGUCAUGGACUAAUCAAACACAGGUAUGAUUAUUGUUUUUCAUAGUAGCAUUAAGAGAAACAGGCCAUCUACAAGGUUCUUUCUAUAAUGAUUAAAACCGCCCAAACCCAACAGUCAUCUUCUUCAAAAGGCUGCCAGACCUUUCCUAUCCGUACUGAACCUCUACAUCAGCACGUUUCUCCAAAAUCACAGUCCCUUUAUCUUUCAAAUUCCUUCUUACUCUUCUUAAAUACGCCUCUUGUUUUCUCUCCUAUCUCCACUUCUCCUUCAACCUCUAAAUAUUCACCAUACUAUGGCGUCUUCCUCCUUUUUUUUUCCACAAAAUCUGACAUUAAUCCUUCUACACAACUUAUUCUCCACCCAAACAUCAAUUUACCCUCACUUAUCCAACCCCAAAUCCUUCUCAACCAUCUGAUUUCCCAUUCUUCAAGACCUUACCACACCCUUUCUCUCACUCUUUUUUCAAACCCUUACUCUUUCCAGAACCCUUACCACUAUCAAUAGCUCCUUUUUAAAUCCUUGAUCGAGAUGACAUUCCAAUUGCCAACCUUAUUCCUAGACGGUCAAGAUCGAAUCUGAAAUAAAAACCCUCAUUUAUCUCCAUUAUUAUCGAUGAUGAUACUCUUGAACACUCUUCUCCCGUCAUCCCUUUAUCUUGAACUCCACAUACUCGAAAAAGGAAACAACAGAAGAUGCUUGUUUGGAAGAGUCACUUAGGGAAAGUAAAAAGAAAUGAGUCGUGCCUAAUGCUUCUCCUUCCCCAUGUGAUUCCUCUCCUGACAUUCUCAUUCGCUCUAAGAUAAAGCUGAAGCAGAAGCAUACCAUAGCUAAAACGUCAAAACCAUAUCUCUCUCGUAAAAUGUCCCCUUCUCCCACUCCCAAAGCCUCUUCAUCUUCAAAAUCCACUGUUAAAGCCUCUACUGACAAAGUCUCUACUGGAAAAGCCUCUACUCCUUCUAAAGAUUCUCCAAAAUUUGUGUUACUUUCGAAGAAAUAGGUCCCUAAACCUGUUCCUUCUGUCUCAUCUGCCUUAGAUUCAGACUAUCUUUCUGACACUUCUUUUGUGCUUCCUGAUGAUUCUGAUGUUAAUACUAAUAUUGAUACUUCUGCUAAUUAAGCUUCUCAGUCAGACUAUGUUCUGUAUUUUCAGAAAUAAAAGAUGGUUAGAGAUAGGGUUGUCACUGGUUUUGAGGGUCUUGAUAUGGAAACUUUGGUAUCCAAAUUGAGGUCUCAAGGGUGGUCAUCCUUUCUUCUGCAUGGUAAUCAUCAAAGAAGGUUUGGAAAAGAUAAAGUGUAUGAAUUUUAUACACAUGGAGUUGCGGUUGGGGAGAUGAUCUCAACCUCUGUUCAUGGAAAAUUCAUCAAUAUUUAUCCUGCUGAUUUGGGUAGAAUUCUAAAUAUUUCUACUGGAGGUUAGGCUCACUAUGUGAAAGAAUCUUGGCCUUCUCUUGACAAUCUUCCAUCCGCCCCUGAUAUCUGCAGAAAAUUUUCUAGAAAUCCUCUCCUUCCUUCACAUCGUAAGGUGAUGAAGAAUGAAAUGUCUUCUUUCUAUCAGUUGUAUUUUGAUGUGAUCCACAAAAUAAUCUUACCCAGGCAGGAGAGGCGCACAGUUGCAAGCUUUCUUGAUCUUACCUUAAUAGAACUAUUAGAUUCUGAGAUUCCAAUAGCCCUUCCCCAACUCAUUAUUAUGCAAAGGGUACUCAUCAAAGAUAAGAAUGUUUAUGCUCUGCCCUAUCAGUUCUGGCUUGCCCCUGUGUUUGAUGAUUUUUGUGUCUCUGUCAAGGUAUGGUCCUUACAGACAACUAAGGAUGUGAUUGGACAAGUGAACCAUGCUAUGUUACCUGCUGUUAUGAGACAUGCAGACAACCCUAUGCAGAAGUUGUGAAAUGCCUUAGAGGCAAAGCAGGGUAAGCUAAAGGUUGCACAGGCUGCAUUGGAGGCUACCCAGGCUAUUUAUGAAGAUUAAAAGAGGGCUCUUGAAGCUCAAAUUGCUUCCUCCACAGCCACUUUGGAGAAGGAAAAAACUGAAAAUGCUGCUAUCAUUCGAUUGCUGACCUCUUUUAUCCCCUCUACCUCCUUAAAAUAAACUCCUCCUUCGUUCCUUAGUUUUUUUCUUUCUUCUUUGCUGCUUCUUGGUCCAACUUGUUUCACUUUUUGGUCUUACUGGAUAAUGAAAAUUGUAUCUAUUUUUGUGCAUGAAAUAGACCUCUUUUGCCUCACUUGAUCUACUUCUGUUUAAUUCAAUGCUUAGUUAUCUCUUGCUCUGACUCUUGCUUGUUUUAGUGAUAGCCCCAGUGGCUAUGGAUUAUUAAACAGUUUUUCACUUAUUGGCUCAGCUUUUUGAUGAUGUCAAAAGGGGGAAGUAUAGAUUAUACAAUGCUUAUAACUCAACUGAUCUAACCUGUUUCAUUCUACUCCUUUUAUUGAAUUUCUUAUUGAGUAUGUUAGGUUCUUGGUAAUACUGUGCUGAUAAGUUUGUCAUCAUCAAAAAGGGGGAAUUUGUUAGGGCAUGAGAAGUUUUGAUGAUAGACAGAUGAAUGAAAUAUGUUGUGCAAGUUGGUUCAUACAAGUGAAACUACUUCGGACAUAUGGAGUGCAUGCUGAAAUCAUUACAUGCUAAAAUUAUUACAUAAGCUGUCAACACAUGGAUAAGCAAAGGAUGUUCACACAGCUAUAUGAAGAUAAUUGGAGCAUUUAGAGUUUGAGUAGAUCAAGAAAUCUACAAGGCAGAAGGAUAAAGCAAAAGAGUCCUACAGAAGAUACAAGUAAAGAAGAAAAAGGACUGCAUCUGAGAGAGCAUAUAUAAACGACAAGCUGCAUUUAAAUAAUGACAAAAACACUGAUAGAAAAAUCAACAAUCAGCAAAAUAGUUCACCAACUUGAAGAAGAACCUAGUUCUCACUUAGUAUGUUUUAGACUGCUUGUAAUAGAAAGGUUCUUGAGUUGUAAUGAGUAAAUUGUUAUAGUCUCAGUAUUCUAUAAGCUGAGUUAGGAAUCACGUCUUCAAGUUAGGGAACUCGAAGACUUGGGAACACUUAUCUUGGGAAGAUUUGUAUUUUUGUAGUAAUAGGAGUUAGAAGUUUUAAUUCAUUGUUUACAAGAAGUCUUGUAAUUGUGUUGAUUGUUGAGGCUCAAAGUUAUAGUGAAGAUUGGGGUUAAAUCCUGUAGAGGUACAAGUCAUGAUUUUUUACACCUUUUUGAGCCGGGUGUUUUUCACGUAAAAAUUACUGUGUUCAGUUUUUACUUCUGUGAACCACGUAUACUUGUUCCACAGCUAGGCAAUCAGUAGGGAUCAUACUCUAACAAUUAUCAAUCUCUAAUCCUCAUUGCCUUUUUCUUUUGGAAGGUAUGGCAGACAAUUUGAUGAGUUUAGCCUUUUAAUGUUUGAAGCAUUAAUUGAACAUAUUGUACUUUGAAAUUAUGAAUUCAAAAUUUAAAAGUAUUUCUAUAGAUUCUUAGUUUGAUCUUCCUUAGUGGUCCUUGCUUGGUUGAAAAAAGCAAAGCGAAGCUAAUUUCUCGUAAUUGCUUGCCCCAAAAUAUUAGUAUGUGCUUUUUCAAGUAUAAAUCUGUUGUGCAAAAAUAUUUGAUCCAAUUGAACGGAUAAUAUUAAAAGUAACAUGCGUCGGAGAAUUAUUCCUAAGUGGUUUCCGUGAGUUAUUUUUUCACCUCAAAGUUGUUGGUGUAUCUCAGGAACUUUUCAUUGCUGGGACUGAUACAAGUUUGAACACAGUGGAAUGGGCUAUGGCUGAGAUUCUUAAAGCUCCAGAGAUUAUAACGAGAGUCCAAGCCGAGCUCGGAGAAGUCAUCAGAUAAGGCAACCCAAUGGAGGAAGCUGACAUUGCCCGACUGCCUUACUUACAGUGCAUUAUUAAAGAAACUUUCAGGAUGCACCCUACAGGUCCUUU
Molecule: long non-coding RNA, 67334 nt
Filed under: Capsicum annuum
Lineage: Eukaryota; Viridiplantae; Streptophyta; Magnoliopsida; Solanales; Solanaceae
Description: long non-coding RNA (CANN_LNC003756)
Source: RNAcentral